UUUUAAACAGCAAAUUUUAUUUAUAUGCUAACCCAACACAAGAAGUGAAGAGGCUAGAGGAAAGACACAAGAUAACAGAUACAUAAAGACAGACAACUAAACCAAAGGCCAAAAAGCCACAACACAAAACCACCCAAACAACCCUUAAUACAAUAGAAUCACAGCAGAAAAACCUUAACCAAAUCAAGCAAAUUAAAAACAAUUACUUAGUUGAUAUUUGUAUGCCUUGUCGCGUUGAUGUUUCAGAAAUGUCUAGGUGGAGGGGAAUGGUGGUGGGGGGGAAGGGGGUGAAUGUUUAUAAGGUCGAAAUUUGACUACAGGAGGACGGUAAGGGGGUAAAUGUCCUGGGAACUGGUUGGAUGGAGGUUUGAAUAUUGGAGUGAUAUGAAAGGCAGCAUCAGCAAAAUGUUGAGGACCAAACAUAAGAGCAGCAAGGAAUACCACUAGCAAGGAUAAGAAAAAGGAUUUAGCCAUUUUAAGAAGUGAUAUUAUUAUUAGUGUUGGUGCAUAAUACAUAUGGAGUUAACUGGUUUUAUACUAAUUAGAGACUCAAAGUGAGUUUAUGGUCAAUCAAAGUCAUUUACUAAAUGUCAAAAUUGUGUAUGAAUUGAAUUAUUCAACAAUGUUACAAGGUCCAUGUAUUUGCUACUACUUGAUGAUCCUUUCAUUUUCCACACAACAAGACCAUUUAGUAUUAUUGGCUUUAUCUCUCCGCUUGUUUGCACACCAUAUGGUUGCGCUCCUUAAUUCUGAAAUAUAGAAUGAUUUUAAACUCAUUUUAGAUUCUCCAAAAAUUAAAAUCUCAUUCCUACGACAACAGAAAAUGGAAGAAACACAAGAUUGUUGGUGUAUUGGUAGCUUACAGUCUGUUGGAAAAAUUCAAUAAGCUAGUUUAUAGUUUCUUUUAAAAAGUAUAUGAGUUUAUAGUUUAUUUUAUUAAUUCCUUUUUCACAAUUGCUUACCUGUAAGAUUAAAAAGUAUAUGUUUCACAAUUGCUUUUUCAUCACAGACUUAUAGUUAUUUUAUUAAUUUAUAGCUUAUUUUUUAGAAGUUAUUUCAAAUAGUGUAUGAGCUUAUAAUUUAUUAUUUUUAUUUCACGCUUACCUUUCAUCAAAUGAUGGAACCGCUUUCCGGACCCUGCGUAUACGUGAGCUUCAGUGCACCGGGUUGUCCUUUAUUUCAUGCUUACCUUUAUUAUUUUGUCUCAAAUUUAUUUUUAUCCUUUAUAAUUUGUAAUAAAGAAAAUGCUAAAAUGUUCUAAAAAAUUGAUAAUUAAGUCAUAAAAUAUUUACAUUCUAAAAAUAUUCAUUCCAACUUUGUUUAAAGAUGCAUCUUCAUCAUCAUAUUCUUGUAAAAAAAUCAAACAGUAAAUUUCAAACGGAAAUUCUUAAAAUUCUUCAAAAAUGCUUUUAUUUGUACAAUUCUAAAGAAUUUAACCACUCCUUAAAAAAAAAAUUAACCAUGUGAUGAUCAGUACAUAUCCUUUAAUUUUACACACCAUAAAAUCAUUUAGUAUUAUUGGUACUAUAACAAGGUAAUGAGUGGAAGUUAUUUGCUACUAAUAUUCUUGAAUUAAGAUUUAGAAAAACCGUACUCCAAGAGCAUGAUAAAUUUUGCAAAUCUAUUCAAAAAAGAGUAUUGACGAGUUUUACAUUUACACGCUCCUUGAACAUUCAUCAAUAUAUCAUCAACAAAACCAAUAUGUAAAUACUACUCCGUCCCUAAAUAUAUAGGAGUCUUUUGUAAAAAUUACGGAGAUUAAGAAAGUUAGUUUUAGUAUUAAAUUUGAAUAUAAUUACUAUUGUUUUUACGAUUUUAUCCUUAAGAGAGAGUUAAUUUAUGUUUUCAACAUAAUAUUUAUUUUUGAUUGAAGAAAAAGAUGCAAAAUAAAUAAAGGUAUGUUACUAAAUAAAUAAUUAAUGUACUAGGGACGGAGGUAGUAUUAGAUAAGGAACAUGAAUAUUUGGGAGGAAAAAUUCUUUGCAUAAGAGGAUCGUCUUAAACAACAAACUGAAAUUAAAAAUACUUGCAAUUGCGGAAGUCUUAAACAACAAACUGAAAUCAUAUCACGAAUAUUAUUAAGUUAUGGACCAAUUUGUAUGCAACAGUUAACCACCAACUACUGCAAGAAAAUAUCAUAUUAGCUACCAAAAUCUAGCUACGGUCUAUUGCUCUAGUUAAUUUGUCUUUAAUUAGCUUUGCUCUUACUACAAGUGAAGUUUGCUAGCUGAUGCUUACACUUGUUCGUUUUUUUUUUUUUUUUGAUUGUACCCAAAUAAAACUAUUUAGCAUCACUGCAAAUGCAUUUUUUUUCAAUUCUUUUGUUUAUGCAAUUUAGAUUCACUCUUGUGGAAUCUAUAAUGUGGACUCUAUAAUAUAUAUUGUUGAUGUUAAUAUUUUUAAAAUUUUAUUUUCAAAUGAGCGUUCAAAUAUACUGAUGCUAAAAUUUUGUAAAUUUUAAUUCUACAAAAAGCAUGCAUGAAUACUUAUGCAAAAAAAAUUACUCAUUUUUUUCUUUAUUUAUUUUGACAAAAUUUCAUUUUCCCCCAUUUAUCUUCUUUCCCACAAUUUUUUUAACACUUCCCGAAAUCUUUUUCCCACUAAUAUUUUAUUUUCCUUUUUCUUUUUACAACAAUUCAUUUCCUCAUCGAACAAAAAGGGAAAACUCAAGAUGUGAAAAAUCAAUAUGAGAAAGCCAUUUUCUCAAUGUGAGUUUAUGGUCAAUAUAAGUCAUUUACUAAAUUCAACAAUGCUACACUCAUAGGUACCAUGUAGUAUUUGCUAGUUAUUGAUGAUCAGUAGCUAUCCUUUCAUUUUCCACACAACAAGACCAUUUAGUAUUAUUGGCUUUAUCUCUCCACUUGUUUGUGCACCAUGGUUGCACUCAUUAAUUCUGAAUUAUUAUAGAAUGAUUUUAAACUCAUUUUAGGUCCUCCAAAAAUUAAAAUACUCAUUCCUACGACAACACAAAAUGCAAGAAACACAAGAUUGUUGGUGUAUUAUAAGCCUGUAAGAUUAUACCGUAUAUGUUUCACAAUUGCUUUUUCAUCACAAGUUUAUAGUUUAUUUUAUUUGAAGUUAUUACAAAUAGUGUAUGAGCUUAUAAUUUUUUUUUUUUAUUUCAUGCUUACCUUUAUUAUUUUGUUUCAAAUUUAUUUUUAUCCUUUAUAAUUUGAAAUAAAGAAAAUACUAAAAUGUUCUAAAAAAUUGAUGAUUAAGUCAUAAAAUAUUUACAUUCUAAAAAUAUUAAUUCCAACUUUGUUUAAAGAUGCAUCUUCAUCAUCAUAUUCUUGUAAAAAAAAUCAAACAGUAAAUUUUAAAUUGAAAUUCUUAAAAUUCUUCAAAAAUGCCUUUAAUUUUCCACACCACAAAACCAUUUAGUAUUAUUGGUGCUAUGAAAAGGUAAUGAGUGGAAGUUAUUUGCUACUAAUAUUCUUGAAUAGAUUUAGCAAAACCGUACUCCAAGAGCAUGAUAAAUUUUGCAGACGGUGAAAAUUUAUUGUGACAAUAAACUAUUUAAAAAAGAGUAUUGACGAGUUUAACAUUUACACUGUAUAAACCCAAAUAUGCAAAAACCCAUAUACUUCUUGAACAUAUCAAGAAAACCAAGAUGUAAAUAUUAGAUAAGGAACAUAAAUACGUCGGAUGAAAAUUUCUUUGCAUAAGUGGAUCGUAAUAAAAAUUAACAAUAAGUUCUUAAAUACAUGCUUCUGAAAGUCUGAAAUACAAUAAAUACAAUAUGCUCUUAAAUUAACAAUAUCAUAGAAAGUCUGAAACUAAAAAUUGCGGAAGUCUUAAACAACAAACUGAAAUCAUAUCAGAAAUAUUAAGUUAUGGAACCAAUUUGUAUGUAAUAGUGAACCACCAACCAUUACAAGAAAAUAUCAUAUUAGCUACCAAAAUCUAGCUACGGUCUAUUGCUCUAGUUAAUUUGUCUUUAAUUAACUUUGCUCUUACUGCAAGUGCAAUUUGACUGGCUGAUGCUUACACUUGUUCGUUAUUGUAUAAAAAAAUUAAAACAAAUUGUAAUGUCUUCUGAUGCCUUUUGGAUCUUCAUUGAUGGUAUUUCCUAGUUCUUCACAAGUCUUUAAGAUGUUCUGCUUUGCGUAUUUGCAUAAUUUCUUCUUGAAUUAUAUAAAAACUAGAAUUACAUGAGUCAAACAGAAAACAUUACAAAUAUCCCAAAAACCAUAGGAAAUUGUUCUAAUACUCCAUUCUGGAUUAAAACUAAUUGAAAAUGACUGGAAAAACAUGCCAAGAAUAACGUAAGAUGAUAUGUUAUCACAACCUCAAACUUAAACUGUUGUUUGUCGGCAAGUAACGAACGAAAAUAAAUUUUAAUUUUGCAUAUUUUUCAAGAAAAACAUAUCUUUUCAAAGAGGUUGCUCAGAUCGUCUUCUCGUCUCAUUUACAGACUUGACUAACUUACACCUUCCAUGAAAGCGCGACAGAAUUAGAGAAUAUAGCCCAUACUCUCAACCACACUCUUAUCCAUGAUACAUGCAUGUAUCACACAAACUCGGUAGGGUUGGUCACGAUAUUUGUCCACUCUAGUCGUCACAUGAAUGUAUCUUGAUGUAAAUUUGAGAGAACUCUAAACAGACAGUCAAGAUCAUACUAUAUACAAAGUAUUAGUUCUUUCAAGGUUAUAACGUAUCUUAGGUUAAGGUGAGAUAUAUUAGAAAAGUAGGCUAACAAAACAACUUGAAGUUAGAUUAUCAACCUGAGGUUUCCUACUAAACAUUGAAGUACUACUAACAUUCCUUCCUUAAACCAAACAAGAUGGGUAUUAAAUAGAACUAUUUAUCUUUUCCUACAUUUGUUUUAAAAGACCAAAAUAUUUGAUGUUUUUAGCUCUUGAUUUUUUCUUUUUUCUAUUUUUUUAUGUAGACCCAUGGUUAUCAACAUUUUUUCAUUUUUUUUCUUUGUGAUAUAAAUAAGUUCUCUGGUAGCCCUUCCUCAAAAAGAAAUCCAAGUUUAGUUUCAAAUCAUACCAAAUUAUUAAAAAUAUUAUAUCUAACUCCAAGAGAAAUCAAAUAGAUGACUUUAAGGAUCAAAACACCCACAACGAGCCGGUAAUAACACAACGCCUAAAACUGAAAAAAAACAAUGCGUCGAAACUCGUUAAGACAACCGUUAGUCUAAUUGGCUAUAUAAGCCUUAAGGUACUAUUAGACAUAACAAUUCUUUCUUAAUAAAUAUUAUUUUCAUUUCACUUUUUCUAUAUUUUGUUUUCAUUUAUGAGUUCCAUCAAGAAUUGUGAUAAUGUGUCACUUGAAAAAAAGAUAGACUAAUGUCACUUAUGAGUUCUAUCAUGAAUUGUAAUAAUGUGUCACUUUUAUAUACAUAUGUUUCAGUAUGGACGGACUGAAGUCAAACACACGUUAGUACUUAGCCAAAAAGCUCGACAAAGUUUCUGGUAACAUAUUUAAUUAAAAUUCAAUAUAAAUAAAAGUGUGAAAAAGCUACUCAACCGUACAAGUUGCCUUUGCAUCCCAGUGCAACUGACACAAAUGUGGUAGCCUCGGUUAGGCUACUAAUACAAUGUGUUAGUUUACAUCAAAAUAUAUAUUCUUUUUAUCAGCAAAUAAAAUUAACAACAGUCCGAGCGCAAUAACCCGAAAGACUUACAGGUACGAGUGAGAAGGAAAAGCAUGCAGAAAACGACUUCUAUUAGUUCGACAGUUUCGUCAAAGGGUGCAGUGAAUGAAUUUGUAUGAGAUGAUGGGUUAGGGUUCUAUUGAGAAGAAUUUCUGGGUGGAGAUGAGAGGGUUCAGUGAGAAGUUGAGAUGAUGGCAUAUGGUUUGAAGGGUUCGGAGUAGAGAAGUUAAAAUUUGAAGGAUCUGUGGGUAGAUGUUUGAGAGGUUUAGGUUCGAUGAAGUGAUUUUGGUAGAAGUUGUGUUUUGGGUGCAGAAAAGAGGAGAGGGAAUGAACAAUUACUUCAGCGCCAGACGCAAAAUUUUGCGGUUUAUUUUUUUUUUUUUUAUUUAACUUUUUUUUUUUUUAAUUUGGUAUGCCGUAUGUGCAAAGAUAGCCCUUCCCCAUUAAACGCUAACAAAUCAUUUACACCAAUAUUAGCGUUCACUAGAAAACGCUAUCACACUCUUAUCAUCACACACCUUUUUUUUUUAUAAUUUUUUUUAAUACCAUAUAAUAGCACUUUCUAUAAAAGGGCUAAUAUAGGUGUCACGUUAUAAUAGCAUGCGUAACGGAAGUGCUAUUAUUAAUAUUAGAGUCAAUCUUUUCAUAGCAUUUUCUCUAAAAGUGCUAUUAAAUUAGCGUUUCCGUUAUAAUAGUCCUUAUGAACAUCAAAUUAAGUUUGGUAUUUUUCAUUAUUCAUGUCGGCGAUUUUUACUAGUUUUGAUUUAAGUAAACGUUUUGAUUGACUUUAAUGACUAAAGUAACUAAGAGAAUAAAGAGUGAAGGAUUUAAUUGGCGUUUUAUUCAAGUCGUGGACCAAAAUUAAAUCUUGUUACACUUUUAAGGAGAAAAAUGGUUGUUUUUCCAAUAAUGUUUUCCAAUAUUAAAUUACAGUUGUUUUAUGCCUUAGGGAUGUUACACUUAAUUGAUAACUUAAAUAAGGUUUUUGGAGGUAAAUAAGAAAGAUGCAAAACCUCCAGCCAAGCCAAAACAACCCCGUUUCGAUUUGUGAACUUGACCAUAAUAUAUUAUACACAAGAUAUAUAAAAACAAAGCAUUGGUAACUAGUAGAUUUUUUUUUUUUAACAGCAAAGUUUAUUUAUAUGCUAACCCAACACAAGAAGUGAAGAGGCUAGAGGAAAGACGCAAGAUAAGAGAUACAUAAAGACAGACAACUAAACCAAGGCCAAAAAGGCACAACACAAACCACCUAAACAACCCUUAAUACAAUAGAAUCACAGCAGAAAAACCUUAACCAAAUCAAGCAAAAACAAUUGCUUAGUUGAUAUUGGUAUGCCUUGUCGCAUUGAUGUUUCAGAAAUGUCUAGGUGGAGGGGAAUGUUGUCUUAUAUGUGGUAAUACAGGUGGUAAUCCAUGUGGUAAACCCCUUACGAAUGGAGUCAAAUUGGUAAAUUUUUGUUCUGGGAUAGUAAUUGGAGGGAGAUUGCAAAAUGUUGAGGAGAAAACAUAAGAGCAGCAAGGAAUAACACUAAUAAGGAUAAGAAAAAGGAUUUAGCCAUUUUAAGAAGUGAUAUUAUUAUUGUGUUGGUGCAUAAUACAUAUGGAAUUAACUGGUUUUAUACUAAUUAGAGACUCAAUGUGAGUUUAUGGUCAAUCUAAGUUAUUUACUAAAUGUCAAAAUUAUGUAUGAAUUGAAUUAUUCAACAAUGUUACAACUUCCAUGUAUUUGCUACUAGUUGAUGAUCAUUAACUAUCCUUAAUUUCAUUUUCCAUACAGCAAGACCAUUUAGUAUUAUUGGCUCUAUCUUUCCACUAAUAGGUAUGUAUUUGAUAAAUUUUAUACACAUUUUUUUUAAAUAAUUAUUUUUAUUAAAUCGCCCUUAGAAAAGUAAAAAAAAAAACAGCCUUUAAUUAGCCGCUAUAGUUUUUUUUUACAAAACUAGCCAGUAUAGUUUUAUCUCUAUAGUCUAAAUACAUUAUUGUUGUCAUUUACUAAAAUUAUUGAUCUAUAACAAUAACCAUAUACGAAGAAUACCUCAAAAAAAAACAAAAAACGUACGAAGGAGAAUCAACCAUCUGGAUAAUACAUAUCCUUAUUUUAUUUAUUUGAAUUUGAAUGGCAACCACCAAAGCCACAUAUAGAAAGAAUAUUUUCCUACCAAUCGUACAUGAUGCCCAUAACAAAAGAUAGGUUCCAUAAUAUGGCCCCAUAAUAUCCUUAUCCUUAUAAUUAUGGUUCAGAAAAUAAAAAACCUCGUUAAGUUUUAGGAUUAUUUUAAGUUGAUAAAUAUUAACGAGUAUCUUCAGAGCAUUUUUUAAGCAUCUAAAGUGGUAAGAUUUUAUGAAAGUUGAGCAUUUAUUAUAUUGGAAAUUGAAGUCUUUACAUUUCUUUUAAAAAUAAUUUUUUCAUUAUAAAUGCUUAAAAGAUGCUCCAUGGACAUUCAUUAACAGGACUCUUUUAAGUUUUAGAAUGUUAGCAUUUCCCUAAGACACAUGUUAAAGAUAGAGAUAUAUUAUGGCCUCUCACGGUAGCACCCGCCUACGUAGCGAGUUUAUGGUCAAUCUAAGUCAUUUACUAAAUGUCAAAAUUGUGUAUGAAUUGAAUUAUUCAACAAUGUUACAAGCUCCAUGUAUUUGCUACUAGUUGAUGAUCACUAACUAUCCUUUCAUUUUCCAUACAACUAGACCAUUUUUUUUUAGUAUUAUUUGCUCUAUCUCUCCACUUGUUUCCACAAAUAUGAUUAAUUUUUUUCGAAAAUUUUGUUUUUUUAAAUAUGAUAUUAUGGAAAACAAAAUUCGAAAAUUUGAAUAUAUAUUAAUCUUUUCCACAAUUUUUUUAAAUAUUUCCCGAUUAUUUUUAUAAUUUUUCCAGAUUUUUUUCAUUAUUUUUUAUUUUACCAGAUUUUUUUAAUCAUUAUUAAUUUUUACAUUUUUUUUUUAAAAUUUUUCAGUAUUUUUUUUAAUCAUUAUUCGUUUUUUAAAUUUUUUUAUUUUUAUUUUAAAAAAAUCACAAAUGCCACGUGGCGUUCAUUUACACGCGUGGCAUGAAAAAAAUUAAACAAAAAAAAAUUGACACGUCACUGCCACGUAGUAGAUUCUGCCGACACAUUGAGGUGAGGGGUCAAUCCUGAAGAAUCUUCAUUUUUCAAGGGUGGAAUCUAAAAAAAAAAAAUUACAGGGGCUAAAACCAAAAGUGCAUUAUAUUACAAAGGCCAAAAACACUAUUAACACUAUAUUAUUACUUCUUCUUUUUUAUAAAAAUCCAAAUAAAAAUCAUUUGCAUUGCAGCCAAUUGGCCAAAUGCAACAUGACAAGCGCAAAAUUGCUCCAUGUUGACUUGUGAGAACUCUUGUUCUAGAUAGAGAACCUUAUAGUUUUUGUUGUCACAGAAAAUGUUAAACAACUUUUUCCAUGCAAUUUAUGCGUCUGAAUCGCGCUUGAUGAUGGUGAUGAGAAUAUAUUCUGAGGUGGUGUCAUAUAUCCAUUAUAAUACGACAACAUCAAAAAGCGGCCAAAGAUUGGGAUUGAUUUCUUUGAGAGAGGGAGUUGUUGGCUUAUUAGUGGGUGAGGGAGGAAUGAUGUGAUGAAAGACUUGAUGAACCCUUGCAUGAAUUUUAAAGAGUUCGAACCACGUAUUAUAUUGGACCCUUUUUUAUACUAAACGUAACCUUGAUGAAAUUGGUGAUAAUUGAAAAUGGUGGUAGAGGGAUGGAUAGGUGUGGAAGGAGUUGGGGUUGAAAUUGUCCUUCGAGUGGUAGUAUUUUUGGGGAUGAUUCGGCCCUGAUGGUGAAUGAAGGAGAAGAGGAACGAUGGCGCUGUAUUAGGUUUACGAGAGAAGGAUGAGUACCAAUAACUUACUGAUACCAUGUAAGAAUUAUAAUAAGAUAAUUAUUAGUCGUGUGUCAUUUGCAUUGAGAGGAUCCGUUGACACUAGGUGUCAAACUUUAGUUUGACAUCAAAUCUCAACCGUCUAUUAUGUCUAAUCUAAUGGUCUGUGAUUAUUUAUUAAAUUAACUUGUGUGAUCUUUUUCCCAUGUCUCACCUGAUCCCACGCCGGCUGUUCUGCUCCAUCUCCUUCAACUUAUCAAAGUUAAUAUGGCCAACAAUCAAAUACACACACAAAUUAAUUCUUUUAUUUUUUAAAGAAGAAGAAGCUAAAUUAGCCCACACAAAUUGGCACCGGAGAGAAUCGAUCCUGAGACCUCGAGGAGGAGCACACUCCCAGAUCCCAAGUCAAUACCACCAGACCAACCCAAAUGAUAAAUAAGGAGUUAAUUCUAAAUAAGGAGUUAUACAUAUAAUUACAUAUUGUUGACAUUAAUUGUUCUCUGUGGGGCAAGAUACUUGAGGUGUAAGUUUCAUAAGAUGCAAGUUCUUUUAAGUCUAAAUUGUCUUAUACUUACAUUAUUUUAGGUCUAAAUUUCAGAAACCAUUAUCACAAAUUUUUUGACAAUCUUAUAUCACAUACUCGUACUAUAUUUUUACUUCUCUUUUUGUUGUUUUGGUUUUUGUUUUCAUACCUAAUUUUCCUUGUAAAUAUAUAGUUGUCUCAUAAAUUAUCGUUAAAAUUGUUGUUCAAAUAACACAACUCUUAUUUCUAAUACUCAAAAUUUGUUCAAAUUAAGUUUUUAAAGAACUUCUAAUAAAAUCAGAUUAAGUUUUUUUGAACUUUCUAAAUACUUAAAUUGAAUUUUCUCGAAUAUACAUCUUGGAGAAAGAAAAAAAAUAAUUAUAGGAGGGAGAUGCAAAACUUACGUUUUCUUUCUCUAGAAACAUAUUUUGAGUUUUCAAUAUCAUCAAAAUCAUAAACUUUAUUUAUUUGCAAAUCUAGAGCACAUAUAGCACGAUUUUCUCUCAUAAUUUACAUUGAUAUAACACAUAUUAUGUUCUUACCUUGCCCAAACAUUCGGGAUUUAAUUGAUAAUGUAAAAGAUGUUUUCAAAUGUAGAAUAAGAAAGAUGGAAAACCUCCAAGCCAAAUUAUACACAAGAAUAUAAAACAAAGCAUUUACUUGGUAGAUAAUAUUUUCUUUUUAAACAGCAAAUUUUAUUCAUAAUAAGAUAACCUAACACAAGAAGUGAAGAGGCUAUAGGGGAAAGACACAAGGUAACAAUACAUAAAGACAACUAAACCAAUGCUAAAAAGCCACAUCACAAAACCACCCAAACAACCCUUAAUACAAUAUAAUUGAACCAGUUUCCAUCAACACCACAUCAAUAGACCCCUAAAUAAUUGAACAAAAACCAGCCACCUAAACUUCCUGGUACCAGUAAAUUACAAUUACUUAGUAGAUAUUGAUAUGUCUUGUUGCAUUGAUGUUUCAGAAAUGUGUGGCUGGAGGGUAAUCUUUGGGUCGUAACUUCCACAAUAUCUUCGAGCAGCGAUUGAUUUUGGGAGGUUUGAAUUUUGGCAAGGCAGCAUCAACAGCAAAAUGUUGAGGAGCAAGCAUAAAAGCAGCAAGGAAUAACACUAAUAAGGAUAAGAAAAAGGAAUUAGCCAUUUUAAGAAGUGAUAUUAUUAUUGUGUUGGUGCAUAAUACAUAGGUAGUUAACUGGCUUUAUACUAGUUAGAGACUCAAUGUGAUUUUUUGGUCAAUCUAAGUCAUUGUGUAUGAAUUCAAUCAUUCAACACGUAGGUUCCAUGCAUUUGGAAAACUAGUUGAUGAUUAAUAAUGUUCAAUAUAUUAGGCUAUGAAUUGUUUAUGAAUUGAAUUAUUGAACAAUGUUACAUGUUCCAUGUAUUUGCAACUAGUUGAUGAUUGGUAGCUACCUAUCCUUUAAUUUUCCACACAACAAGACCAUUCAGUAAUAUUGGCUCUAUAUCUCCACUUGUUUGCCCACACCGUGGUUUAGCUGAAAAAACAGUGUACUGGAGGUGGAACAUGUUUUAAUAACAUUAAUAUGUAGAUAUUAUUAUUUAUGCAUUGAACCCUGUAUUGAUAAAAAUUCCACAUAGGUUACUUUAUUUGUCAUUUAUGCUUGAAUAUAUAAAUACAAAACAGUGUUUUUUCUUAUUAAAAUAGGGGGAUUUUAGGCUAGCUUUUGUUAUUCUAAUUAUACCCUUAAAUAAAUAAAAAAUCAAAUAAUGUAAUAUUGUUGGUAUAAUUAAAAAAAUAAGAAUUUUUGUUAUAUUAUUGUUGUCAUUGAGUAAGAUAAAUAUGGUUUGUUGAGUUUGUUACAUUUGAAAGUCACAUAUAUUUAUACUUAUAAUUUUAAUCUAUAUCAAAGAGUUUAUAUAAAAUAUCGGUUGUAAUUUACACGCAAAAUUUCUAUAAAUUAUCGUAGAUAAUCUAUACACGUUAACGUAUUAAAAAGAGUAGAAAGAUGCGCAUGUGACUGCCCGUAUUUUGGUCCCUUAACUUCUCUCUCUUACACAUUUUGGUCCUUUCCAUUAGUUUAAUUCAAAAACGUUGAAUUUUCUUCAUCUUCUUCUCCUCUUUUUCAUCUUCAUAUCAUCUCCAUCAACCUUCAACAACAAGAAUCCCAAAAAAAAUUAUAGAAGAAAAUGAAGAAAACCUAACGUUUUUGAAUUAAAACUAACGGAAAUGGCCAAAAUGUGUAACAGAGAGAAGUUAUGAGACCAAAAUAAAUCGAAUUUUAAUUAAGGGAUCAAAGCGAUACUACCUAAAUAGUUAAGGGACCAAAAAUGCAAUUUAGCCUAUAAUCUAAUAUCAUCGUUAUUAAAUAUUAUUUUAUAAUCUAAUAUCAUUGUUAUUAAAUUUUAUAGCAAGUAUCAAACGAAGAACCGAGAGUUGUUGUUUGAUAUUGUUAUUUAAUCAUGUCUCGUAUAUCAAAGGAAGGAUCGAGAGGUAAAAUUUGAUAUUGGAAUAAAUGAGAUUGUAAACGAUAAGCAAAAUAUGAGAAAAAUUUUGUGACUCUUAUGACAAUAAGGUUAUAAGGUUGCACUCAAAAAGUUUUAAUGAUUAUCAACUAUGAGAAUAGGUUUAAUUACUGUUGAGAUACAUUCAUGUAAUCUGAUAGGAAACAUGAAAUAUCAAAGAACAUCUUGUCCUUAGAAACGAAUAGAGAAAUAUAUAGGGAAUGUUUAGAAUUUAACUUUAUGAUGAAAACCUCAAUCUCAUGACGCAUUUUAAUAUCUGAAUUUUAAUCUAAAAAAUCAUUGCACUUAAUCAACUUAUCUUUUUCAGCUAAUCAAGACUAAAAAUUAGAUUAGAAUUUACUUUAAGUCCAUGUGAAUCGAUAUUUUACUAGAACCGUACACUUGCAGAAACCUAUCAAAGACCCUAUUGAUGUAUAUGGAAUCGUAGUUACCUAUCAAAGCUACAAAAUUUAGAUCGGACUUGGGGGUCUUUCUAACCGUUCUUGAAGUCGUAGGGGGGUUCGUUUACCGGAUGUAGCAUCGAAGGCUUGAGUGCAGAGUUCGAAGGGGUGCACAAGUAUUCAAGGAUCCGAAGAUUCAAGAAGCACCAAAUUUAAGGGUUACUUGGAGUUUGGGGGAGUGUUUUACAUAGGAGUUGAAGAAUUAGGUUUUAAUUUCAAGGAACUCUUGUAAACACAUUGUAUUCAACAUUUGUUACAUGGUGGAUGAUCUCGGUGAAGAUGUACUUAAUCAAGAAGAGUAGAGGUAGAUCUAGAGAGGACGAGAAAGAGCAAUCUAUUAUAAAAAUAUCGGUGUGAUCUCUCUUUCCCUAUCCUCUUUACUUUUAGAUAUUGCAUGUGAUUAAUUGAAUAAUUUUUAGGAUAAUUUCUAGUGUUGAUCUAAGUUGUUUUUCAUUGAAAAUCAAUCUAAUUCAUUGAAUUAGGUUUCAUAUAAUUUGCUUAGAUCAAUUGAAUGCAAAAUCUAUUCAAUUCUUCAAUUACACAUGUAUUGUGUUUUUUAUUUGAUAACUUAGUAAUUUUGUUCAUAUAGAUUUGGUUUGAAAUUGUCUAUUGUUUUAUACAUUGUUCAAGGAAUAUUAAAGUUUGAUUGUAUAAUAACAUUUAGUAACAAGGUGAUUGCAACACUUGAAAAAUUGUUAGCUGAUAUAGUGAUAUAGUAACAAUUGAGUAAAAGUGUUAGAUCCAAUACAACAAGUACCAUCCCUAAAAAAAAAACAAAAAUACAAGUAACAAUAGAACUCAUUCGUUAUUCAUUCACGUGUUAAAAAAUUUAGCUGAAAAAACAGUGUACUGGAGGUGGAACCUGUUUUAAUAACAUUAAUAUAUAGAUAUUAUUAUAUAUGCAUUGAACCCUGUAUGAUUUAUUGAUAAAAAUUCCACAUUACGUUAUUUGUCAUUUAUGCUUGAAUAUAAAAAUACAAAACAGUGUUUUUUCUUAUUAAAUUUUUUAAUUAAUUUAUAAAGACUUUUAAUAACUUAGUGUUUACCAAUUGCACUCAUUAAUUCUUAAUUAUAGAAUAAUUGUAAACCCAUUUUAGAUCCUCCAAAAAUGAAGAAAGCUCAUUCUUAGGACAACACAAAAUGGAAGAAACUCAAGAUUGUUGGCAUAUUGGUAGACUAUUUCUGUUUGACAAAUUCAAUAAUCUAGUUUAUAGUUUAUAAGUCCGAAUGAUUAAAAAAUAUAUGUUUCAUAACUGUUUUUUCAUCACAAGUUUUAUAGUUUAUUUUAUUAGUUUGUAGGUUUUUUUUUAGACUUUAUUCCAAAUGUGGAAUAACGUUUGAGAUUAUAGUUUAUCCUUUAUAAUCUAUAUUAUAUAUAAUGAAAAUAGGGGGAUUUUAGGCUAUCUUUUUUGUUAUUCUAAUUAUAUCCUUAAAUAAAAAGAAAUCAAAUAAUGUAAUAUUGUUGGUGUAAUUAAAAAAAUAAGAAUUUUUGUUAUAUUAUUGUUGUCAUUGAGAAAGAUAAAUAAAUAUAGUUUGUUGAGUUUGUUACAUUUGAAAGUCACAUAUAUUUAUACUUAUAAUUUCAAUCUAUAUCAAAGAGUUUAUAUAAAAUAUCGGUUGUAAUUUACAAGCAGAAUUUCUAUAAAUUAUCAUAGAUAAUCUAUACACGUUCACGUAAUAAAAAAAAGCAGAAAGAUGCGCACGUAAAUGCCCGUCUUUGCACUAGUUUAUUAUAAAAAAAAUGCUAAAAUGUUCAGUUCUUUUGGUCAUACUGCACAAAUUAUUUGGUAGCUUGACAUAUAUGUUACUGAUGUAAACUUCACUCUCACUUUAAUUAUGUUACUCCACAGUCCUCUAAAAUUGUGUUUCUCUUUUUUCCCUAAAACUUCUCUUUUGGAUUAUUCAAUCCGAAUUAAGUUGUUUCUGGUUUGAAAUAUAUAAUUUGAACUGCUUCUAUAUAUGUUUUCUCUUUAUUUUGUGGCUAUUUAUUAAUUGUGUGUAUAUCUGAUUUUAACACUUUCAAAUAUUGAUCGCAUGGGCUGUGUUAGGAAUGAUAGAAUUUCCUUGACUGCAUCUUCUAGGUGAGAGCAGACGUAGAAGAAUGUACUAGAAAGGAGAGUGGUCAAGGGCAGGGGCAUGGUCCGCAAUGCUGAGACGCAGAGAGGUCGUCAGUUCCUAGACAUUAGUGGAAGUUUAGGGCGCAUCGGGGAACAUGUCAGAAAUAUUUAACUUUUUUAGUGAAUAUUUUUUUAAUUUAAAAUUUUUAAAGAGUGUCUCGAAGAUACUCGUUGGCAAGACUGAUAAGUUGUAGUUAAUGGUGUUUUUAACAUUUAAAUUCAAUAAUAUUUACGUUGUUUUAGUUUUAAUUUAGAUUCAUUUUACUGGAAAGCAUUAGUUUUUGUUUUCAUAAUCAAAAAUUUGAAGAACAGUGUACCUGGAUCAAGAGCGAGGAUAAAGAGCCAUAAAGCAACAACAUGGAUUGUUCGUGGUUCCAUCUGGGUUGUGCACUUCUUAAAAUGUCAGAAUUUCAAAAGUUGAAGUACAAGCACGACCGUGCCCCCCAACACCGUAGAAAUAAGCAUGAUUGUGCGCUUCAGAAGCACGACUUUGCACCCCUCAAAACAUGUCAAAAGUUGGAAAGGUGAUCAUGACCGUGUACCCUUGAAGCAUGACUGUGCACCCUUGAAGCACGACCGUGCGUCUUGUGCAGAGAAAAUAGUUGUUACAACCUUUUAGAAUUCUUUAGUUUAUGGCUUGUAACUCGUUUUUAAUAUAUUAUAUGAGGCUCUAGGCUAUAAAUAUACCUCACUUCUAAGGAAAAAAGAAUCUUAGAUACUUGUAAACUUACUCUAAAGUUGAAAACAUAAUUUUGCAAUGUUCUAAGUUCUUUGUUCUUUAUUUUUCAUUUCUUUACAUUUGUGUUCUUUACUCUUCUGUUCUUUACAUUUUAAGUUAUUUACUUUCAUGUCUUUUACUUUCUUGUCUUUAUAUAUUAAUCAUUCGUCUACUAUGAGAGAGAGAGAGAGAGAGAGAGAGAGAGAGAGAGAGAGAGAGAGAGAGAGAGAGAGAGAGAGAGAGAGAGAGAGAGAGAGAGAGAGAGAGAGAGAGAGAGAGAGAGAGGUGAUAUUAGUGCAGAACACAUAGCAAAAGAGAAUGAAAAAAGAAGAUCCCGAUCCUUUUCUAAAGGAGAAUCAACCAUCUAUAUAACGACAAAUUUAAACCCAUCAAGUACAAAAAAACGAUCAAGGUAAAAAAUAUAAACGGAACAUUGAACAAUUUUAUUAAAUUAUAAUAAACUUCAAAGGGUAAAAUUGGUUUUUAGAUAAACAUAUAAGGGGUUACCAAAUAGGGUUACAAGUUAUAAGCUUGUGAAGAAAACGUCUUGGUUGACUUCAAUGACUAAAGUAACUAAGACCAAAGAGUGAAUGAUUUAAUUCGGAUUUUAUCUAAGUCAUUGACCAAAAUUACAUCUUGUUACACUUUUAAGGAGAAAAAUGGUUGUUUUCUCAAUAAUGUUUUCCAAUAUUAAAUUAAUGUUGUUUUCUGCCUUAGGGAUGUUACCAAUUUGUUAUGUUGGAGUUACCUUUAGUGCUAAGAAACCUUUAGACCAAUAAAAAUAUUUUGAGUCCCUUUUAAAGUGGUAAAUACACUAAUAUAAAGUCAUUGUCAAUUGAUGUUAGGACUAUUUAUUAAUAAUGCAAUAUUUACUUGUUGUUCUUUGGUAGACACUUAAGGUGCGUUUGAUUUGUUAAAAAAUGAAGGACAGAACAACUCUAGUUGUCCAGUGUUUGAUUUGUAAAACUGUUUUAGGUACAAGACAAUUUGGAGGCAAGGGACAGGACAAAAACUCAUUUUUGUCCCUCACCAACCCACAACACAACUUUUUGUCCCACGUACAAGUUGUCUAAAAUACCAAAAUAGCAUUUUGUCCCUCAAAAAUCGUAUAAAACAAAAAAUUACUCAAUGCCAUAAAAAAUUUGUCCUGUCUUGUUCUGCCUUGUGUUGUACUGUUCUAUCUUGUACUGUUUUGUCCGGUACUUGCUGUUUUGCAAACCAAACACACCCUUAGAGGUCAUUUUUGUGGACUGUAGGUACCUAAAGCUCUAUGAACUUGGUUAUAUCAUAGAUAACGUCGUAUUGGAAAAACGGAAAUGAAAGACUCAUCUCUCACUCUACUUAGGGCUAGCCAAUUGUCAAACGCCAAUUGUCAAACUUGGUUACAAUUAAUUUUUUUUGGAAAACUUAUUUUGAAUUUUCUACAUGUCAUGAAAAAUUCAAAUUUCUGUUUUCUGAUUAGAAGAUCAAUAAACGGUUCAAUAUCAUCACAAUCUCCAAAUCAUAACUUCAUUCAUUUGCAAAUCUAGAGCACAUAUAUCACGAUUUUCUAUCAUGAUUUGCAUUGAUAUAAGUAAGUAUAACACAUAUAUUUUACUCUUAACUUAGCCAUACAUUGCGGAUUUACUUAGUAGAUAGAGUAAUGUUUUUUUUUAAACAACAAAUUUUAUUCAUAAGCUAACCCAACACAAGAAGUGAAGAGGCUAGAGGAAACACACAAGACAACAGAUACAUAAAGACAACUAAACCACCCAAACAAUCCUUAAUACAAUAGAAUAACAUCAGAAAAACCAGCCACCUAAACUUCCUAGUACCAUGAAACAAUGUCAGGUCGCGUUGAUUUUUAGGCUGGAGGGCAAUGUUUGUUUCGGAAGUUCUCGACUUUCUUCAACAAAGGGUAGUGCUUUUUGCAGAAAUCGGGUAUAUGGGGUAUAUGUACUGGUUUAUCUUUUGGGAUUAAAUUUUUGAUUUUUGGGAUUAAUGCUUCAACUGCGGGACCAAAGCUAACAGCAUCAGCAAAAUGUUGUUGAGGAGCAAGCAUAAAAGCAGCAAGGAAUAACACUAAUAAGGAUAAGAAAAAUGAAUUAGCCAUUUUAAGAAGUGAUAUAAUUAUUAGUGUUGGUGCAUAAUACAUAUGGAGUAUACUGGUUUUAUACUAGUUAGAGACUCAAUGUGAGUUUAUGGUCGAUCUAAGUCAUUUACUAAAUGUCAAAAUUGUGUAUGAAUUGAAUUAUUCAACAAUGUUACAAGUUCCAUGUAGUUGCUACUAGUUUAUGAAUUGAAUUAUUCAUUCGAUUCUCCGCGCGACUCAGGUGCAUGCCGAAACCGUUUUAAUUAUAUGAGCAAAUUAAUAAAUAAAUGGGUUGGUGCUUAUGAUGGUGCUAAGCGUUUGCAAGGAAGCGGUUGGUCGAAAGAUGAUGUUUUGGAAAAAGCCCAUGAAUUAUAUGUGAAACACCCCGUUUUCCCAACUUGAAUUUUUUUGCAUAAAUCAGAGUAAAACAACUAAACAGGAUGCUGCACUUCUUUCAAAUCUGAAUAUAGUAAAAUUACUAAUUAUCUCAAUCAUCAAAUUAAAUCUUAUUGCAGCGGAAAUUAGUUCAACGUUUAAAACAACCUUGGCACAAAGGCCUCAAUGUAAAAUCUCAUAAAAUUAUUCCAACAACAUGUUCAUAAAACUUCAUAAAAUAAUACGUAAGGAACGUAAAGCAACAACAAAAUUCUCAUCCCGUUACGUAUCAGAGCACCUAAGACACACGUGAGAGAAUCCACUCACGACCGCAACUAUUCUUGGUUACCUGCAAGUUACUCAAUUGUGAGGGCAACAUUUCCAAGCAGAAGGGGUGAGAUUUCACAUUCAAUAAUAAUAAGCAUAUAAUUCAUCAAAUUCAUUUAACAACUUAAACUUCAUCAAUUAGUAACACUAACUCUUCGCAUAAAUACUUCAUUAAUUAAUAACAUUAACUCUUCCUAUAAGACUUCAUUAAUAACUCAAUCAACUUCUAAUCAUCAUUAACUUCAUAUUCAUCACAUUAUAUACAACGUCAUACAGCACGUAAUAAUCAAAUCAUAAACAUCAUCAUAUAAAAACCUAAUCAUCACAUCAUAAACAUCAUCUUAUAACAUCAUAUAGUUCACAUCAUAAACAUCAUCAUAUAACAACAUAAACAUCACAACAUAAACAUGAAAUAAGGUUAUAAGGUUGCACUCAAAAAGUUUUAGUGAUAGUCAACUAUGAGAAUAGGUCUAAUUACUGUUGAGAUACAUUCAUGUAAUCUUAUAGGAAACAUGAAAUACCAAAGAACAUCUUGUCCUUAGAAAUGAAUAGAGAAAUAGAUAUGGAAUGUUUAGGAUUUAACUUUAUGAUGAAAACCGCAAUCUCAUGACGCAUUUUUAUAUCUAAAUUUUAAUCAAAAAAAAUAAUUGCACUUAAUCAAUUUAUUUUUUUCAGCUAAUCAAAACUAAAAAUUAGAUUAGUAUUUACUUAAAGUCCAUGUGAAUCGAUAUUUUACUAGAACCGUACACUUGCGUAAACCUAUCAAAGACCCUAUUGAUGUAUAUGGAAUCGUAGUUACCUAUCAAAGCUACAAAAAAAAUUAGAUCGGAAUUGGGGUCUUUCUGACCAUUCUUGAAGUCGAAGGGGGUUCGUUUACUGGAUGUAGCAUCGAAGGCUUGAGUGAAGAGUUCGAAGGGGUGCACGGGUAUUCAAGGAUCUGAAGAUUCAAGAAGCACCAAAUUUAAGGGUUACUUGGAGUUUGGGGGAGUGUUUUACAUAGGAGUUGAAGAAUUAGGUUUUAAUUUCAAGGAACUUUUGUAAACACAUUUGUAUUCAACUAUUAUAAAAAUAUCGGUGUUAUCUCUCUUUCCCUAUCCUCUUUACUUUUAGCUAUUGCAUGUGAUUAAUUGAAUAAUUUUUAGAAUAAUUGCUAGUGUUGAUCUAAGUUAUUUUUCAUUGAAAAUCAAUCUAAUUCAUUGAAUUAGGUUUCAUAUAAUUUGCUUAGAUCAAUUGAUUGAAAAAUCUAUUCAAUUCUUCAAUUACACAUGUAUUGUGUUUUUGAUUUGAUAACUUAGUAAUUUUGUUCAUGUAGGUUUGGUUUGAAAUUGUCUAUUGUUUUGUACAUUGUUCAAGGAAUAUUAAAGUUUGAUUGUAUAAUAAGAUUUGUAUCGUGAAUCUCUCAAUUCUAAGAUUAAGUCUCAUUGCACAUAUAUUUGACCUUUUGAUUCCUUGAUUGUCAUUGUUCGACCACGAAUCCAAUAGUCAAUUUUGUUGAGAGAGAGAGAGAGAGAGAGAGAUUGGAUGGACGGGUGAUAUUAGUGCAGAACACAGCAAAAGAGAAUCGAAAAAAGAGGAUCUUGAUCCUUUUCUAAAGGAGAAUCAACCAUCUAUAUAAUGACAAUUUUAAACCCAUCAAGUACAAAAAUAACGAGCAAGGUGAAAAUAUAAACGUAACAUUGAACUAUUUUAUUAAAUGAUAAUAAACUUCAAAGGGUAAAAUUGGUUUUUAGAUAAACAUAUAAGGGGUUACUAAAAAGGGUUACAAGUUUUUUUUUUUUUUUGAAAGAAGGGAUACAAAUUAUAAGCUUGCGAAGAAAAGACGGUUAUCAAACACAGCCUAUGCAGCUCAUGAAGCUGCCAUAAAAAUUUUAAUAGUGGGGGAUGUUUAAUGAAGAUUAGUAGUAGUGUUACGUUAUUCAUGGAGCUAUAGUUAUAAAUAAUUUUAAAGUGGGUAAUGUUUAUUGAAGAUAGGGAGAUCGAAGCGGAAAUGCUGAAAAAUGAUGAUGGAAAAAUAUAAAUCGAUAUUAUCUUUUAUUUUAGUCAGAAUUUAAAUUUGGUAUUUUUCAGUAUCCAUGUCGGCGAUUUUGACUAAUUUUGAUUAAGUAAACGUCUUAGUUGACUUCAAUGACUAAAGUAACUAAGAACAAAGAGUGAAUGAUUUAAUUCGGGUUUUAUCUAAGUCAUUGACCAAAAUUACAUCUUGUUACACUUUUAAGGAGAAAAAUGGUUGUUUUCCCAAUAAUGUUUUCCAAUAUUAAAUUAAUGUUGUUUUCUGCCUUAGGGAUGUUACCAAUUUGUUAUGUUGGAGUUACCUUUAGUGCUAAGAAACCUUUAGACCAAUAAAAAUAUUUUGAGUCCCUUUUAAAGUGGUAAAUACACUAAUAUAAAGUCAUUGUCAAUUGAUGUUAGGACUAUUUAUUAAGAAUGCAAUAUUUACUUGUUGUUCUUUGGUAGACACUUAGAGUUCAUUUUUGUGGACUGUAUGAACUUGGUUAUAUCAUAGUUAACGUCGUAUUAGACAAACGGAAAUGAAAGACUCAUCUCUCACUCUACUUAGGACUAGCCAAUUGUCAAACUUGGUUACAAUUUAUUUUGUUUGGAAAACUUAAUUUGAAUUUUCUACAUGUCAUGAAAAAUUCAAAUUUCUGUUUUCUGAUUAGAAGAUCAAUAAACGGUUCAAUAUCAUCACAAUCUCCAAAUCAUAACUUCAUUCAUUUGCAAAUCUAGAGCACAUAUAUCACGAUUUUCUAUCAUGAUUUGCAUUGAUAUAAGUAAGUAUAACACAUAUAUUUUACUCUUAACUUAGCCAUACAUUGCGGAUUUACUUAGUAGAUAGAGUAAUGUUUUUUUUUAAACAACAAAUUUUAUUCAUAAGCUAACCCAACACAAGAAGUGAAGAGGCUAGAGGAAACACACAAGACAACAGAUACAUAAAGACAACUAAACCACCCAAACAAUCCUUAAUACAAUAGAAUAACAUCAGAAAAACCAGCCACCUAAACUUCCUAGUACCAUGAAACAAUGUCAGGUCGCGUUGAUUUUUAGGCUGGAGGGCAAUGUUUGUUUCGGAAGUUCUCGACUUUCUUCAACAAAGGGUAGUGCUUUUUGCAGAAAUCGGGUAUAUGGGGUAUAUGUACUGGUUUAUCUUUUGGGAUUAAAUUUUUGAUUUUUGGGAUUAAUGCUUCAACUGCGGGACCAAAGCUAACAGCAUCAGCAAAAUGUUGUUGAGGAGCAAGCAUAAAAGCAGCAAGGAAUAACACUAAUAAGGAUAAGAAAAAUGAAUUAGCCAUUUUAAGAAGUGAUAUAAUUAUUAGUGUUGGUGCAUAAUACAUAUGGAGUAUACUGGUUUUAUACUAGUUAGAGACUCAAUGUGAGUUUAUGGUCAAUCUAAGUCAUGUACUAAAUGUCAAAAUUGUGUAUGAAUUGAAUUAUUCAACAAUGUUACAUGUUCCUUCCAUGUAUUUGCUACUAGUUGAUGAUCAGUCCCUACCUAUCCUUUAAUUUUCCACACAACAAGACCAUUCAGUAAUAUUGGCUCUAUCUCUCCACUUGUUUGCCCACCAUGGUUUAGCUGAAAAAACAGUGCAACUUGUUUCAAUAACAUUAAUAUAUAUAGAUAUUACUAUUUAUAUAUGCAUUGAACCCUGUAUGAUUUAUUUAUUUAUAAAAAUUCCAAAUAGGUUACUUUAUUUGUCAUUUAUGCUUGAAUAUGAAAAUACAAAACAGUGUUUUUUCUCAUUAAAAUUUUUACUAUAAAGAUUUUUAAUAACUUAGUGUUUACCAAUUGCACUUACUAAUUCUUAAUUAUAGAAUGAUGAUUAAAAAUUGUAUGUUUCAUAACUGUUUUUCAUCACAAGUUUAUAGUUCACUUCUCAGACGUUAUUCCAAAUAACGUUUGAGAUUAUAGGUUAUCAUUUUAAUUUCAUGUUUACCUUUAUUAUUUUGUUUAAGAUUUAUUUUUAUCCUUUUUAAUAUAUACUAUUUAUAAAGAAAAUAUAGGGAUUUUGGGCUGACUUUUUUGUUAUUCCAAUUAUACCUUUAAAUAAAAAAAAAUCAAAUAAUGUGAUAUGGUUGGUGUUAAUAAAAAGAUAAGAAUUUUUGUUAUAUUAUUGUUGUCAUUGAGAAUCAUAAAUAUUGUUUGUUGAGUUUGUUACAUUUGAAAGUCACAUAUCAUACUUUUAAUUUUUGUCUAUAUCAAAAAAUUUAUAUAAAAUAUCGUUUGUAAUUUACACGCAGAAUUUCAAUAAAUUAUCGUAAAUAAUUUAUACACAUUAACGUAAUAAAAAGAGCAGAAAGAUGAACAUGUGAAUGCUCGUCUUUUCGCUAGUUUAUUAUAAAGAAUAUGCUAAAUGUUUGGUUCUUUUGUCAUACUACACAAAUUAUUUGGUAGCUUUAUAUAUAUGUUACUAAUGUUAAUUUCACUCUCACUUUAAUUAUGUUACUCCAGAGUCCCUCUGAAAUAAUGUUUCUCUUUUUGCCCUAAAACUUCUCUCUUGCCAUCCAAAAUUUAAAACUCCCAUAUUAUAUGAUUCAUGAAGAUUUUUUGCUUCAAAACAUUGAUCAGGUCUUUUCAAACACGGACAACAAGGUAGGGUAUCAUUCCUUCCCUUUAGUGUUAUUUGAAUCUUUUUUUUUUUUCUUCUGUAAACUAAAACCUUAUAGAUUAUAUAAUAAUCUGAAUCAAGUUGUUCCUGGUUUGGAUUAUAUAAUUUGACAUGCUUCUAUAUAUAUGUUGUUUUGUUAUUUUGUGGAUAUUUUUUUAUUUUUUUUAGACAAAAGAGGAAUUAAAUUAAAAUAGAAAAGGAGGUAUAAGAUUGGGGGCAAUGACCUGACCAGUAAACCACAAAAUCAAAAUACAACAAUUUCAGUACAAAGUGGUAUACAACGAACACAACCCUAAACAAUCACUACUACGGACAAUUCAGCGAACCCACGUAUGAGCGCCAAACCGAAUUGCAAAAAAAACGUAGAGUGAGUAUUCAGAACUUCUAAAUAGGCGUAUGGAUCGACUGCCAACACAAAAACGAUCCAAGAUCAAGCAGCUCCCAUCAAAUAUCAGCAAGCAAUAAACGCCCUUUCGGGCCAACCAUUCCAGUCGUAGUUCAGUUCGAGGGAUGAACAAACGACAUAAAUGUAAAGCAGUCCACUGACAACGCAUAAAGCAACCGUAGCAGAUAAAGUCCUGCAGGUACGACAUCAACAACUAUCGUCAACCAGAGCGUCUACGCACUUAGCCCUUUCGUGCAUAUCAGGCGAAACAAGUCUUGUUGAAUCCAGAUCGAGGGAUGGUAUCCAACCAAACAUCGCACAAAUGAACAGAACCAUAACCAAAUCUUAAAUCCAGACAAACCAAAUUCAAAAUUUCAACUAAACCGGAUAGCCAGAAUAAGACCACCACCAAUCUUCAUCUUCCCGAAACAACAUAAAACACCAUUCGAUUCUUCAUGGUCUUCUUCUUUCAAACUAGUGCGUCUUCCUGGAACCGCCAUUGAUGUGAAAUUCGACUAUCUUUGCCGCCGCUUCAACUUCAAACUACUAUGCCAUUGACGCUUUUAAUUUAGUGGGAGAAAAAAGAAAAAGAUCGAAAUGAAAGUAGAAGAAGAAGGUUUGGUGUGUGUUUUUGAAGAAGAAGACGAAGAAAAAAAAAAGUUUGUGUUGUUACGUGUGAGAGGGUGUGGUGGUAAGCUUGUAUAUGAGAGAGAAAUAUAUGUCUAGAGUUUUGAUGUCUAAAGAAGACCACAAUUAAUGUGACAUUGGAAAAUGAAAGGGUGGAUGCAUGGGUACCAAAAUCUCAUAAUUAUUUGUUGGAAGAUGCAUAAGGAAGAGAGAGUUAUCCCCAAUAAAUGAGAGUGGGGAAUAGUUGAAAGAAGUGGCUUUUACAAAGUAGAAUGCUGAUUAGAAUUAACAAUUAAGUGUAGAUGAUCAACGGUUGAUGUUGAAUGGCGCCUAAAUGAUGAUCAGCAUCCAAUGGCUUGCAAAAUUGGAGAGAAAAAUGAGGGGGGAAAAUUAGGGUUAAGGAUAGCUUCGGGGGAUAAGCUUUAGUAAGUAAGAUUGUCUUAUAUACUUACAUUAUUUUAGGUCUAAAUUUCAGAAACCAUUAUUUGACAAUUUUUUUGACAAUUUUAUCUCACAUACUCACAUUAUAUUUUUACUUCUCUUUUUGUUGUUUUGGUUUUUAUUUUCAUACCUAAUUUUCCUUGUAAAUCUAUAGUUGUCUCAUAAAUUAUCGUUAAAAUUGUUGUUCAAAUAACACAACUCUUAUUUCUAAUACUCAAAAUUUGUUCAAAUUAAGUUUUUAAAGAACUUCUAAUAAAGUCAGAUUAAAGUUUUUUUGAACUUUUUAAAUACUUAAAUUGAAUUUUCUCCAAUAUACAUAUUAGAGAAAGAAAAAAAAUAAUGAUAGGAGGGAGAUGCAAAACUUAUGUUUUCUUUCUCUAGAAACAUAUUUUGAGUUUUCAAUAUCAUCAAAAUCUCAAAAUCAUAAACUUUAUUUAUUUGCAAAUCUAGAGCACAUAUAGCGCGAUUUUCUCUCAUAAUUUACAUUGAUAUAACACAUAUUAUGUUCUUACCUUGCCCAAACAUUCGGGAUUUAAUUGAUGAUGUAAAAGACGUUUUUAAAUGUAGAAUAAGAAAGAUGGAAAACCUCCAAGCCAAAUUAUACACAAGAUAUACAAAUUAUACACAAAAAUUUCAAAUUUCAAUUUUCUCGAGAGUAUUCUUAAAUGAUCAAUCAAUGAUUCAAUAUAAUCACAAUCUCAAAAUCAUAAACUUUAUUUAUUUUCAAAUCUAGAGCACAUAUAGCGGGAGGAGAUUGUCUCGUGUGAUUUUUCUCUCAUGUGUAAUCCAGACCCUCCAUUAAAUAUGUGAGAUAAUGUGUUUGUAAUAUAAAAUGACCGAACGCAAGAUAAAUUGUUUUUUUCUAAACAAUAAAUUUUAUUCAUAAGCAUUCCCGUGAGCUUAGCUCAGUUGGUACGGAUAUUGCAUUUUAUAUGCAGGGGCUGAGGUUCGAACCCCAGACACCCCACUUCUCCACAAUUAAAUUGUGUGAGCUCUAACCACUAGACUACUUGACCAAGAAAAAAAGAAAUAUUCAUAAACUAACCCAACACAACACAAGAAGUGAAGAGGCUAUAGAGGAAAGACACAGGGUAACAAUACAUAAAGACAACUAAACCAAGGCUAAAAAGCCACAACACAUGUAAAUGGCUUAUCACAGCAGAAAACAAGGUAUAUCAAUAUCAUGUGUGACUACAAAACCGCCCAAACAACCCUUAAUACAAUAGAAUCACAGCAGAAAACACCCUUAGUAGAUAUUGAUAUGCCUUGCCGCGUUGAUGUUUUAGAAAUGUGCAGGUGGAGGGCAAUUACUGGGUCGGUUAUGCCCGUUUUUCCUCGAGCAGGGAUUUAAUGAGGGCUUUUGGGAUGGUUUAGGACGAGGGAAAGGUACUGGUUUGGAUGGAGUGAAAUGGGGUAAAUGCUUUAUGAUUCCUGGAGGGAGAUGUAUGGCAUCAACAGCAAAAUGUUGAGGAACAAACAUAAGAGCAGCAAGGAAUAACACUAAUAAGGAUAAGAAAAAGGAUUUAGCCAUUUUAAGAAGUGAUAUAAUUAUUAGUGUUGGUGCAUAAUACAUAGGGAGUUAAACUGGUUUUAUACUAGUUAGAGACUCAAUGUGAGUCUAUCGUCAAUCAAAGUUAAAAUUGUGCACGAAUUGAAUUAUUCAACAAUGUUACAAGUUCCAUGUAUUUGAUACUAGCUGAUGAUCAUUUAGUAUUAUUGGCUCUAUCUCUCCACUUGUUUGCGCACAUGGUUUACCUGAAAAAACAGUGUACUGGAGGUGCAACUUGUUUUAAUAGCAUUUUUUGUUGAGCACAUCAUGAGACAACACCGACAUCCUAACUAGAUUAGUAUUUCAGGACGCCUCCGUCCUAUGCCUGCCAAUCUCUAAAUUUUAUUAAAAAAGGGUAAAAAUAUAUACAAGGAGAGUGAGGACUAGGCCAAAAUCCUCAAUGAAAAAACCAAAGGAAACAAUAAAAAAUAAAGCCUACUGAAAUCUAUAAUUGGGUGAGCCAAUUCUGUCUCUAUAGAAGUCGAAAUGCAACUCUGCACGAAGCGUGUCUAACCAAACAGAACCCUGAAUAUCAUGACCCUCGGACAUUCCAAUAUAACAUCAUUGGGAAGAUGGAGGAAGACCACUCUUUCCAAGGAUUUGAUAAUGCGGCUUUCCGAAGACUUACUUCUUCAUAUUUAACGCGGCUUUUUUGAGAGAACUUGCGUAAAUCCUUUCUUUACGGCCCGUUGAUCGUAUUCUUUGAUUCUGGCCCAUAAAUCCAAGUCAUUCUGUACGUUUUUGCUAGUGUUUUAAUAACAUUAAUAUAUAGAUAUUACUAUUUAUAUAUGCAUUGAACCUGUAUGAUUUAUUUAUAAAAAUUCCAAAUAAAUUACUUUAUUUGUCAUUUAUGCUUGAACAUAAAAAUACAAAACAUUGUUUUUUCUCAUUAAAAAAUUUAAUUAAUUUAUAAAGCUUUUUAAUAAAUUAGUGUUUACCAAAUUGCACUCAUUAAUUCUUAAUUAUUGAAUGAUUGUAAACUCAUUUUAGAACCUCCAAAAAUGAAGAAAGCUCAUUCUUAGGACAACACAAAAUGGAAAACACUCAAGAUUGUUGGCAUAUUGGUAGACUAUUUCUAUCUGACAAAUUCAAUAAGCUAGUUUAUAGUUUAUAAGUCCGAAUGAUUAAAAAAUGUAUGUUUCAUAACCGUUUUUUCAUCACAAGUUUUAUAGUUUAUUUUAUUAGUUUGUAGCUUAUUUUUUAGACGUUAUUUUAAAUAACGUUUGAGAUUAUAGUUUAUCAUUUUUAUUUGUGUUUACCUUUAUUAUUCUGUUUAAGAUUUAUUUUUAUCCUUCAUAAUCUAUACUACUACCGUUUAUUCUGUUUGACAUUAUAGUUUAUUUUUAUUUGUAGUAUAUAUAAAGAAAAUAGGGGGAUGUUAGGCUAGCUUUUUUGUUACUCUAAUUAUACCCUAAAAUAAAUAAAAAGUCAAAUAAUAUUAUAUUGUUGGUGUUAUUAAAAAGAUAAGAAUUUUUGUUAUAUUAUUGUUGUCAUUGAGAAAGAUAAAUAUGGUUUAUUGAGUUUGUUACAUUUGAAAGUCACAUAUAUUUAUACUUGUAAUUUUAAUCUAUAUCAAAGAGUUUUUAUAAAAUAUAGGUUGUAAUUUACACGCAGAAUUUCUAUAAAUUAUCGUAGAUAAUCUAUACACGUUAACGUAGUAAAAAGAGAAGAAAGAUGCGCACGUGAGUGCCCGUCUUUUCACUAGUUUAUUAUAAAGAAAAUGUUAAAAUGUUCAAUUAUUUUGGUCAUACUGCACGAAUUAUUUGGUAGCCUGGCAUAUAUGUUACUAAUGUUAAUUUCACUCUCACUUUAAUUAUGUUACUCCACAGUCCUCUAAAAUCGUGUUUCUCUUUUUGCCCUAAAACUUCUCUUUUAUGUUACUCCACAAUCCUCUAAAAUCGUGUUUCUCUUUUUGCCCUAAAACUUCUCUUUUUGAUUAUUCAAUCCGAAUCAAGUUGAUCUGGUUUGGAUUAUAUAAUUUGAACUGCUUUUAUAUAUGUUGUUUCUUUAUUUUGUGGAUAUUUGUUAAUUGUUUGUACAUCUGAUUUUAACACUUUCAAAUAUUGACCGCAUGGGCUGUGUUAGGAACGAUAGAAUUUCCUUGACUGCAUCUUCUAGGUGAGAGCGUAUGUAGAAGAAUGUAGUGGAAAGGAGAGUGGUCAAGGGCAUGGGCAUGGGCCGCAAUGCUGAGACGCAGAGAGGUCGUCAGUUCCUAGACAUUAGUGGACAGUUACGGCGCAUCGAGGAACAUGUCAGAAGUAUUUAACUUUUUUAGUGAAGAUUUUUUUAAUUUAGAAUUUUUAAAGAGUGUCUCGAAAACACUCAUUAGCAAGACUGAUAAGUUGUAGUUUAUGGUGUUUUUAUCAUUUAAAUUCAAUAAUAUGUACGUUGUUUUAGUUUUAAUUUAGAUUCAUUUUACUGGAAAACAUUAGUUUUUAUUUUCAUAAUCAAAAUUAUGAAGAACAUUAUACCUAGAUUAAGAGCGAGGAAAAAGAGCCAUGAAAGAGCCAUAAAGCAGCAGCACGGAUGGUCCGUGGUUCCAUCUAGGUCGUGGAGUUCUUAAAAUGUCAAAAUUUCAAAAGUUGAAGUACAAGCACAACCGUGUGCCCCAACACGGUAGAAACAAGCAUGAUUGUGCACUUCAGAAGCACGACUUUUGCACCCCUCAAAACACAACAAAAUGUCAAAAGUUGGAAAGGUGAGCAUGACCGUGCACCCUUGAAGCACGACCGUGAGUCUUGUGCAGAGAAAAAUAGUUGUUACAACCUCUUAAAGUUCUUUGGUUCAUGGCUUGUAACUUGUUUUUAAUAUAUUUGUCUGAGGCUCUAGGCUAUAAAUAUACCUCACUUCUAAGGAAAAAAGAAUCUUAGAUACUUGUAAACUUACUCUAAAGUUGAAAGCAUAAUUUUGCAAUGUUUUAAGUUCUUUGUUCUUUAUUUUUCAUUUCUUUACAUUUGUAUUCUUUACUUUUCUGUUCUUUACAUUUUCAGUAUUUUAUCUUCAUGUCUUUAUAUUUUAAUCACAUGUCUAUUAUGAUCAUAUGUUAGUAAACAAACUAUUCUAGUCUUGGAAUUGUUAGAAUAAUCAAUCUAAUGAUUGAAUGUUAAUCAACCCAAGUCUAGACUCUAUUUUAUAAGAAUCCAUUUUAUAAUCUAAUAUCAUCGUUACUAAAUUUUAUUUUAUAAUCUAAUAUCAUUGUUAUGAAAUUUUAUAACAAGUAUCAAACAAAGAACUGAGAGUUGAUGUUUGAUAUUGUUAUUUAAUCAUGUCUAAGAUAUCAAACGAAGGACCGAGAGGUGAAAUUUGAUAUUGGAAUAAAUGAGAUUGUAAGAGAUAAGCAAAAUAUGAAAAUAAUUUUAUGACUCUUAGGACAAUAAGGUUAUAAGGUUGCACUCGAAAAGUUUCAAUGAUAAUCAACUAUGAGAAUAGGUUUAAUUACUGUUGAGAUACAUACAUUCAUGUAAUCUGAUAGGAAACUGAUAGAAUAUGUGUUACUUAGUCAUGUAAUUUGUAUUAUUAAAAGAAUAUUAAUACGUAUUCAUUGUGUUAAUUAGUCAUUCAUUUUGUAUUCAUUAGUCAUUAAGAGAAUGAUAACAAUUUGAUGUAUAUAAUGCACUCAGAUUAUCAAUGAAAAUCAUUCAGCUAUUUUCCUAUAUGGUAUCAGCUAGGUUUUAGAUCCUCUCCUACUUCUUCUAGCCGCCCACCACCACCUUUUCUUCCCUAUACUUCCGUUAUAAACCGCCAUCCAUGGCUACCUCAACAACAGCUGAAUCAACCACUCUCUCAACAAAUUCCUCUCCCGUGACAGACACAUUUGUCUCAACGGCACCAUCAUCAAAAAUUCACUCGGCCUUCACUAUCAACAACGUGAAGUCUAUCAUUCCCGUAACCUUGCACAAUGGCAGAAUGCUUUUCAUUGAUAAUCUGAGUGCAUUAUAUACAUCAAUUUGUUAUCAUUCUCUUAAUGACUAAUGAAUACAAAAUGAAUGACUAAUUAAUAUAAAUGAAUACCUAUUAAUAUUCUUUUAAUAAUACAAAUUACAUGACUAAGUAACACAUAUUCUAUCACUCCCACGCAGUUGAUGCGGGAGGUUGUCGGACGCUGAGUCUGUCCCUAAAAUCUUGAAAUAAAACCAAUGGGAGACCCUUAGUGAAGAUAUCUACAAUUUGAUAGCGUGAUGGAACAUGUAGGACACGGAUGUCUCCACGAGCUACUUUUUCACAAACAAAAUGAAUGUCCAUUUCGAUAUGUUUUGUGCGUUGGUGCUGGACGGGAUUUCGGAUAGAUAUAUGGCACUAACAUCCUUAUUAUCUAAUCCUAAACUACAAUGCACACAACAAUUGCAAAACCCUAAUCCUUGGUUUUGAGCGGGAAAAUUGUGAUUUAACCACAUUUAAUGGCAUUUUUGAAUUUCAAAUCAUGUACCCUUUUGAAAUGUGUGCAUAUGUGCCUAAUUAAUGCAGAUUUUGAAAUUCAAAUAUCCCACCACUUGGAAUUGUGCUCGCUUCUUUCCAAGACAUGCAGUUACCCACUUCUCAAUGCAAAAGCAUCUGAACCAAACAAACCUAUUUCCUUGCAUUUUGCUCUUUCUCCCUCUCUCUCACUCCCCUCUCACGCCCAUUUUUCUCUAAUCAGAAAAGGUCAACGAUUUUCAGUCCCUCUUCUCUUCUCUCUCACUCCAGUUUUCUCUCAAAAAAAAGCCUCUUCUCUUCUCCCACGUUAUUUUUUUCUUCAUUUUCUAACAUUCUUCUUCAAUUCUCCAUCUCUCUCUCUCAUUGUUUCUCGCGUAGCUCUUCGUGUCUUAGUUUGGGUGUUCUCUUCAUCGCCGGUCAGCCUCACCAAGGCAAUAAGCAUCUUCAAGUUUUAUUGAAAGAGAAUGCUUCUAUGCAACAAAAUUUUCAAGACCUUCGAUCCCUCGGUAUGCGUUUUCAGUUUCGUUACGUUUUGAUUGAUUUUGAUUUCGCGAUUAGGAUUUUGGUAUCACCGGUGUUGUUUUGAUUGAUUUUUCCGAUUUGAUAGGAAAGGAGCUUGAAGAAGGUGGAGUUCUCAGUGAAUCGGCACUGUCGCGGAAGGUUUUUCUUUUCAUCAACGAUCUUCUCUCUCAUUCUCUCUCAUUCGCUGCUCUUCUACUAAGCUUUGAUUGUGGAACGUAUGAAGGCAGAGUGACAUCUGAUAACGAUCAGAAUCAAGGCUACUAAGCUUAGAUUAUGGCUUCUAGGGGCAGAGGAAAAUGAGGAAGAAAAAGCACCAUCAAUUACAAUCUGCUCUACAUGUAUAAUGUUUUCCGUAUUCGAAUUAUUUCAAAUUGCAAGUAAUUUAAAUUGAGUUUUAAGGUAGUUUUCUUUGACUGCAAGUAUAAGGGGCUUAUUUCACAAGGUUAUACUUAGAUGUGUAUAUUCACUAUUGAAGCUUAUUUUGAGUUUCCGUGAUGACUUACUUUAUCGAAAUCACGGUGUGCCGCCGCGAUUUAGAAAAAGUUAUAGGGUGCAGCUUUUACAAUAACUAAAAAUUAACUAAUGAUUUGCCUGAAGUUUCUAAUUCUUUUUAUUGGUCCGAUUACAGUCCCUCUCUGAUGAUUUUCUACAACUAUCAGAUUUGAUUGAAUCAACUAAGGUUAAUUAUUUUGUCCAUAAUUUUUGCAAGAUAACUCUUCAGUCUACUGUUUUAGGUCAAAAUUAAUUUAUUUUGUGUAUAGAACAAUAGUUAUGCAGACCACCCAUUUCAAUAGGAUAAUGUCAAAAUUAAUUUAUGCAGACCAUCCAUUUCAAUAAUCAAUAAUGUUUUUUUGGGUUUGUUUGUAUAAUAGCAGGUUUUUUAAGAUUUGUUUUGUGUAUAAUGUGUCAUUUCACUCCACGUAGCCAAUCUUAGUGUUUGUUCAUGAAUAGAAAGUGGCUCAUAAAACAAUUUAAGGGUUCGAUUGUUCUAUAUUAUCUUUGCUCAUCUCUCUUAGUGUUUGAAAUUAGUUCAAAGAGUGGUCUAAAAAUUCUGCUAACAUAUGAGGAUGACGCUUGCAUUGAUAGUUUUUUUUUUUAAAAAAAAAAAAAAAAUCGCAUUGUAUACACAUAAAUUCCUUGAAAUAUAAUUGUAUACACAACGUACACUACAUACGAGGUCAACUUUACGUCGCAAUAUCCAAGGUGACCUCCAGGAAUGGGUUGAAGAUUUUAAUGAAUGAUGAUAAUAGUAAUAGCAUGAAUAGCACUUCAAAUGUAGUUAUAAGGAGAUUUUCUGCAAUCUACCGAUUUAAGGUCUUUUUUAAUGUAUUUUUUUUAGAAACAAUUUAUUUUGUACCGCAAGCAUAUUUAAUUUCAAUACAUUUUGUAAUAGCAUAUUUUAUUUUGUACAGCACGGGUGGAUGGUCUAGUUAUCACAAUAAACUAAACUAGCCUUGUGAAUGGGGAAAUGUAAUUCCAAAAGCAAGUUUCAUAACCAACAAGAUUCAGAAACCGCAUUGGAACCCCUCGAUAUUCUGCUUCAGCACUUGAACGAGAUAAAGUAGGUUGUCGUUUGGAAGACCAUGAGAGUAAGUUGUCACCAAGAGAUACACAGCAACCAGAGGUGGAUCGUCAGGUAUCUAGGCAACUUCCCCAAUCUGCAUUGUGUAAACAAUCAAUGAUGAUGUAGAAGAAGAGUAAAGUUGCAGUCCAUACUCGCGUGUGCCCUGAAUAUAUCUCAGGAUGCGUCAAAGGGUGUGCAUGUGAUCAUCCAUUGGAUUGUGCAUAAAUAAACAUAUUUGUUGCACUGCAUAAGAAAUGCCAGGCCUUGUGAAGGUGAGGUAUUGUAGGGCGCCAGCAAGGCUGCGAUAUAGAGAAAGGUCUUCAAAUGGGGUGCUAGUUUUGGCUCUCAUCUUUGGUUUAGUAUCAACCGUUGUAGGACAUGGUUUACAAGAAGCCAUUCCAGCACGAUCAAUAAUUUCUUCUGCAUAUUUUUUCUGAGACAAAAAUAAGCCACCAGGAUGACGUGUGACAGCAAUACCCAAAAAAUAAUUCAACAAUCCCAAAUCUUUCAUAGCAAACUCGGAACUAAGGAGUGAUAUGAUAGACUUUCAAAGGUCGUCAGAGGAAGAGGAAGCAGUAAGAAUGAUAUCAUCUACAUACAGUAUGAGGUAGGCCAAAAGGUGGGUUUUUCCUAUAUGGUAUCAGAAAAACUCUGCUUCCCGGAACUCUGGCAGAGGUGGUCGAAAUGGUACUGGUAAUUAUUGAUCUAUAACAAUAACCAUAUACGAAGACUACCUCAAAAAAAAAAAAAAAAAAAACGUACGAAGGAGAAUCAACCAUCUGGAUAAUACAUAUCCUUAUUUUAUUUAUUUGAAUUUGAAUGGCAACCACCAAAGCCACAUAUAGAAAGAAUAUUUUCCUACCAAUCGUACAUGAUGCCCAUAACAAAAGAUAGGUUCCAUAAUAUGGCCCCAUAAUAUCCUUAUCCUUAUAAUUAUGGUUCAGAAAAUAAAAAACCUCGUUAAGUUUUAGGAUUAUUUUAAGUUGAUAAAUAUUAACGAGUAUCUUCAGAGCAUUUUUCAAACAUCUAAAGUGGUAAGAUUUUAUGAAAGUUGAGCAUUUAUUAUAUUGGAAAUUGAAGUCUUUACAUUUCUUUUAAAAAUAAUUUUUUCAUUAUAAAUGCUUAAAAGGUGCUCCAUGGACAUUCAUUAACAGGACUCUUUUAAAUUUUAGAAUGUUAGCAUUUCCCUAAAACACAUGUUAAAGAUAGAGAUAUAUUAUGGCCUCUCACGGUAGCACCCGCCUACGUAGCGAGUUUAUGGUCAAUCUAAGUCAUUUACUAAAUGUCAAAAUUAUGUAUGAAUUGAAUUAUUCAACAAUGUUACAAGCUCCAUGUAUUUGCUACUAGUUGAUGAUCACUAACUAUCCUUUCAUUUUCCAUACAACUAGACCAUUUUUUUUUAGUAUUAUUUGCUCUAUCUCUCCACUUGUUUCCACAAAUAUGAUUAAUUUUUUUCGAAAAUUUUGUUUUUUUAAAUAUGAUAUUAUGGAAAACAAAAUUCGAAAAUUUGAAUAUAUAUUAAUCUUUUCCACAAUUUUUUUAAAUAUUUCCCGAUUAUUUUUAUAAUUUUUCCAGAUUUUUUUCAUUAUUUUUUAUUUUACCAGAUUUUUUUAAUCAUUAUUAAUUUUUACAUUUUUUUUUUAAAUUUUUCAGUAUUUUUUUUAAUCAUUAUUCGUUUUUUAAAUUUUUUUAUUUUUAUUUUAAAAAAAUCACAAAUGCCACGUGGCGUUCAUUUACACGCGUGGCAUGAAAAAAAUUAAACAAAAAAAAAUUGACACGUCACUGCCACGUAGUAGAUUCUGCCGACACAUUGAGGUGAGGGGUCAAUCCUGAAGAAUCUUCAUUUUUCAAGGGUGGAAUCUAAAAAAAAAAAAUUACAGGGGCUAAAACCAAAAGUGCAUUAUAUUACAAAGGCCAAAAACACUAUUAACACUAUAUUAUUACUUCUUCUUUUUUAUAAAAAUCCAAAUAAAAAUCAUUUGCAUUGCAGCCAAUUGGCCAAAUGCAACAUGACAAGCGCAAAAUUGCUCCAUGUUGACUUGUGAGAACUCUUGUUCUAGAUAGAGAACCUUAUAGUUUUUGUUGUCACAGAAAAUGUUAAACAACUUUUUCCAUGCAAUUUAUGCGUCUGAAUCGCGCUUGAUGAUGGUGAUGAGAAUAUAUUCUGAGGUGGUGUCAUAUAUCCAUUAUAAUACGACAACAUCAAAAAGCGGCCAAAGAUUGGGAUUGAUUUCUUUGAGAGAGGGAGUUGUUGGCUUAUUAGUGGGUGAGGGAGGAAUGAUGUGAUGAAAGACUUGAUGAACCCUUGCAUGAAUUUUAAAGAGUUCGAACCACGUAUUAUAUUGGACCCUUUUUUAUACUAAACGUAACCUUGAUGAAAUUGGUGAUAAUUGAAAAUGGUGGUAGAGGGAUGGAUAGGUGUGGAAGGAGUUGGGGUUGAAAUUGUCCUUCGAGUGGUAGUAUUUUUGGGGAUGAUUCGGCCCUGAUGGUGAAUGAAGGAGAAGAGGAACGAUGGCGCUGUAUUAGGUUUACGAGAGAAGGAUGAGUACCAACAACUUACUGAUACCAUGUAAGAAUUAUAAUAAGAUAAUUAUUAGUCGUGUGUCAUUUGCAUUGAGAGGAUCCGUUGACACUAGGUGUCAAACUUUAGUUUGACAUCAAAUCUCAACCGUCUAUUAUGUCUAAUCUAAUGGUCUGUGAUUAUUUAUUAAAUUAACUUGUGUGAUCUUUUUCCCAUGUCUCACCUGAUCCCACGCCGGCUGUUCUGCUCCAUCUCCUUCAACUUAUCAAAGUUAAUAUGGCCAACAAUCAAAUACACACACAAAUUAAUUCUUUUUUUUUUUUAAAGAAGAAGAAGCUAAAUUAGCCCACACAAAUUGGCACCGGAGAGAAUCGAUCCUGAGACCUCGAGGAGGAGCACACUCCCAGAUCCCAAGUCAAUACCACCAGACCAACCCAAAUGAUAAAUAAGGAGUUAAUUCUAAAUAAGGAGUUAUACAUAUAAUUACAUAUUGUUGACAUUAAUUGUUCUCUGUGGGGCAAGAUACUUGAGGUGUAAGUUUCAUAAGAUGCAAGUUCUUUUAAGUCUAAAUUGUCUUAUACUUACAUUAUUUUAGGUCUAAAUUUCAGAAACCAUUAUCACAAAUUUUUUGACAAUCUUAUCUCACAUACUCGUACUAUAUUUUUACUUCUCUUUUUGUUGUUUUGGUUUUUGUUUUCAUACCUAAUUUUCCUUGUAAAUCUAUAGUUGUCUCAUAAAUUAUCGUUAAAAUUGUUGUUCAAAUAACACAACUCCUAUUUCUAAUACUCAAAAUUUGUUCAAAUUAAGUUUUUAAAGAACUUCUAAUAAAAUCAGAUUAAGUUUUUUUGAACUUUCUAAAUACUUAAAUUGAAUUUUCUCGAAUAUACAUCUUGGAGAAAGAAAAAAAAUAAUUAUAGGAGGGAGAUGCAAAACUUACGUUUUCUUUCACUAGAAACAUAUUUUGAGUUUUCAAUAUCAUCAAAAUCAUAAACUUUAUUUAUUUGCAAAUCUAGAGCACAUAUAGCACGAUUUUCUCUCAUAAUUUACAUUGAUAUAACACAUAUUAUGUUCUUACCUUGCCCAAACAUUCGGGAUUUAAUUGAUAAUGUAAAAGAUGUUUUCAAAUGUAGAAUAAGAAAGAUGGAAAACCUCCAAGCCAAAUUAUACACAAGAAUAUAAAACAAAGCAUUUACUUGGUAGAUAAUAUUUUCUUUUUAAACAGCAAAUUUUAUUCAUAAUAAGAUAACCUAACACAAGAAGUGAAGAGGCUAUAGGGGAAAGACACAAGGUAACAAUACAUAAAGACAACUAAACCAAUGCUAAAAAUCCACAUCACAAAACCACCCAAACAACCCUUAAUACAAUAUAAUCACAGCAGAAAAACCUUAACCAAAUCAAGCAAACACACCCAGACCUUCCCCUAACACAAAAUCAAACCAGUUUCCAUCAACACCACAUCAAUAGACCCCUUAAAUAAUUGAACAAAAACCAGCCACCUAAACUUCCUGGUACCAGUAAAUUACAAUUACUUAGUAGAUAUUGAUAUGUCUUGUUGCAUUGAUGUUUCAGAAAUGUGUGGCUGGAGGGCAAUCUUUGGGUCGUAACUUCCACAAUAUCUUCGAGCAGCGAUUGAUUUUGGGAGUUUUGAAUUUUGGGAAGGCAGCAUCAACAGCAAAAUGUUGAGGAGCAAGCAUAAAAGCAGCAAGGAAUAACACUAAUAAGGAUAAGAAAAAGGAAUUAGCCAUUUUAAGAAGUGAUAUUAUUAUUGUGUUGGUGCAUAAUACAUAUGGAGUUAACUGGCUUUAUACUAGUUAGAGACUCAAUGUGAGUUUAUGGUCAAUCUAAGUCAUUGUGUAUGAAUUCAAUCAUUCAACACGUAGGUUCCAUGCAUUUGGAAAACUAGUUGAUGAUUAAAAAUGUUCAAUAUAUUAGGCUAUGAAUUGUUUAUGAAUUGAAUUGUUGAUGAUUAAAACAGUGUACUGGAGGUGGAACAUGUUUUAAUAACAUUAAUAUGUAGAUAUUAUUAUUUAUGCAUUGAACCCUGUAUUGAUAAAAAUUCCACAUAGGUUACUUUAUUUGUCAUUUAUGCUUGAAUAUAAAAAUACAAAACAGUGUUUUUUCUUAUUAAAUUUUUUAAUUAAAUUAUAAAGAUUUUUAAUAACUUAGUGUUUACCAAUUGCACUCAUUAAUUCUUAAUUAUAGAAUGAUUAUCGUAAACUCAUUUUAGAUCCUCCAAAAAUGAAGAAAGCUCAUUCUUAGGACAACACAAAAGAGAAGAAACGCAAGAUUGUUGGCAUAUUGGUAGACUAUUUCUGUUUGACAAAUUCAAUAAGCUAGUUUAUAGUUUAUAAGUCCGAAUGAUUAAAAAAUGUAUGUUUCAUAACUGUUUUUUCAUCACUAGUUUUAUAGUUUAUUUUAUUAGUUUGUAGUUUAUUUUUUAGACGUUAUUCGAGAUUAUACUUUAUCAUUUUUAUUUGUGUUUACCUUUAUUAUUUUGAAUAAUUUUUAGGAUAAUUUCUAGUGUUGAUCUAAGUUGUUUUUCAUUGAAAAUCAAUCUAAUUCAUUGAAUUAGGAUUCAUAUAAUUUGCUUAGGUCAAUUGAUUGCAAAAUCAAUUCAAUUCUUCAAUUACACAUGUAUUGUGUUUUUUAUUUGAUAACUUAGUAAUUUUGUUCAGAUAGGUUUGGUUUGAAAUUGUCUAUUGUUUUGUACAUUGUUCAAAGAAUAUUAAAGUUUGAUUGUAUAAUAAGAUUUGUAUCGUGAAUCUCUCAAUUCUAAGAUUAAAUCUCAUUGCACAUAUAUUUGUCUUUUUCAUUCCUUGAUUGUCAUUGUUCGACCACGAAUCCCAUAGUCAAUUUUGUUGAGAGAGAGAGAGAGAGAGAGAGAGAGAGAGAGAUUGGAUGGACGAGUAAUAUUAGUGCAGAACACAUAGCAAAAGAGAAUCGAAAAAAGAGGAUCCCGAUCCUUUUCUAAAGGACAAUCAACCAUCUAUAUAACGACAAAUUUAAACCCAUCAUGUACAAAAAUAACGAUCAAGGUGAAAAUAUAAACGUAACAUUGAACUAUGUUAUUAAAUUAUAAUAAACUUCAAAGGGUAAAAUUGGUUUUUAGAUAAACAUAUAAGCCAAAUAAGGUUACAAGUUGUUUUUUUUUUUUUUUUGAAAGAAGGGUUACAAGUUAUAAGCUUGUGAAGAAAAGACGGUUAUCAAACACAACCUAUACAGCUCAUGAAGCUACCAUAAAAAAUUUAAUAGUGGGGAUGUUUAAUGAAGAUUGGUAGUACUGUAGUAGUGUUACGUUGAUCAUGGAGCUAUAGUUAUAAAUAAUUUUAAAGUGGGUUAUGUUUAUUGAAGAUAGGGAGAUCGAAGCGGAAAUGCUGGAAAAUGAUGAUGGAAAAAUAUAAAUCGGCGAUUUAUAUUUUAGUCCUUGUGAAAGUUAGAAUUUAAGUUUGAAGGGGUGCACGGGUAUUCAAGGAUCCGAAGAUUUUAAGAAGCACCAAAUUUAAGGUUUACUUGGAGUUUGAGGGAGUGUUUUACAUAGGAGUUGAAGAAUUAGGUUUUAAUUUCAAGGAACUCUUGUAAACAGAUUGUAUUCAACAUUUGUUAGACCAAGUACAAUGGCUUGUUGAAAGUGCCAUUCAACAUGUUGAAUCAUUGUAGUGGGGGGUGUUGAAAUUGAAAAAAAAAAAACUUAGUUGGAGGAAAGAGAUGAUGAACAAGUUUAACUAGCUGAAAGCCUGGCCCUCACAGACACGUGGCGCGACCCGAUUGCAUGAAACAGGCGAGUGCGAUGCACGCGACGACAGGGCGCAUGAGAGAUUGGAAGCGCAGAGAGAGAAAGAGAAAUGGAUAAAUGUUGUGACACUUGGCAUGUUUUGAUUGGCUGCUUGGAUUUUUAUCUUCUUAAUAAUUUGGACUCAAUUAUUUCAUUGUAAAUAAUUUUUUUUUACCAAAAUUCGUGAUUUUUUUUUCUCUAUAAAUAGAGACUUGGAUCAUUUGAUUUGGACACAGAAAAAAAAAAUCAAGUUUUUUCACUCUCUUAAUCUUAUUACUAGCUUUUCUUUAAAAGUUUAAGUCUGAAAUUGAUCCCAAUAACAAUCAAUUCAAUACCCAAAGUUCUUCAGAUUACCCAUCUAGCUACCAAAAUCCAAAUUAUUAUCAACACCCAAAUCAAUUUCUCAACCAACAUCCUUAAAACCCAAAUCAAUUCCCCAACCAACAUCCUCAAAACAUGCCUAAUUUUGGUUUUGCCUCAAAUUUCAAUCACUCAUCCUCUGUUCUAAACAACUUUUAUCCAUAUUAUAGAUCUAUGAUGGGAUAUCCAUCUCAAACACCCCAUUUAAUGGUUAUAUGCCAAUGGUGAAUGAAAAUUUUCAGAGUGUUAGUGAAUAUCCUGAAUUUUCAUCACAAAUAAAUAGUGGUGGAAUGACAAGAGCUAAUGAAGUCACUCCAAUUUCAGAGGAUACAACUCCUAAGAGCAAGAAAAACCAGCAACCAGGAACACUGAACAAAAUUUGGUGUUAAUUAGUGGGUGAAUAAAAUAUGGAACAUGCAUUGUUGUCGGGAGAAACCAGACAAGUGAAGCAUAUUGGGUUAAAAUUGUUGAGUAUUGUAAUGAGCAUCGCUCAUUCGAUUCUCCGCGCGACUCAGUUGCAUGCCGAAACCGUUUUAAUUAUAUGAGCAAAUUAAUAAAUAAAUGGGUUGGUGCUUAUGAUGGUGCUAAGCGUUUGCAAGGAAGCGGUUGGUCGAAAGAUGAUGUUUUGGAAAAAGCCCAUGAAUUAUAUGUGAAACACCCCGUUUUCCCAACUUGAAAUUUUUUGCAUAAAUCAGAGUAAAACAGCUAAACAGGAUGCUGCACUUCUUUCAAAUCUGAAUAUAGUAAAAUUACUAAUUAUCUCAAUCAUCAAAUUAAAUCUUAUUGCAGCGGAAAUUAGUUCAACGUUUAAAACAACCUUGGCACAAAGGCCUCAAUGUAAAAUCUCAUAAAAUUAUUCCAACAACAUGUUCAUAAAACUUCAUAAAAUAAUACGUAAGGAACGUAAAGCAACAACAAAAUUCUCAUCCCGUUACGUAUCAGAGCACCUAAGACACACGUGAGAGAAUCCACUCACGACCGCAACUAUUCUUGGUUACCUGCAAGUUACUCAAUUGUGAGGGCAACAUUUCCAAGCAGAAGGGGUGAGAUUUCACAUUCAAUAAUAAUAAGCAUAUAAUUCAUCAAAUUCAUUUAACAACUUAAACUUCAUCAAUUAGUAACACUAACUCUUCGCAUAAAUACUUCAUUAAUUAAUAACAUUAACUCUUCCUAUAAGACUUCAUUAAUAACUCAAUCAACUUCUAAUCAUCAUUAACUUCAUAUUCAUCACAUUAUAUACAACGUCAUACAACACGUAAUAAUCAAAUCAUAAACAUCAUCAUAUAAAAACCUAAUCAUCACAUCAUAAACAUCAUCUUAUAACAUCAUAUAGUUCACAUCAUAAACAUCAUCAUAUAACAACAUAAACAUCACAACAUAAACAUGAAAUAAGGUUAUAAGGUUGCACUCAAAAAGUUUUAGUGAUAGUCAACUAUGAGAAUAGGUCUAAUUACUGUUGAGAUACAUUCAUGUAAUCUUAUAGGAAACAUGAAAUACCAAAGAACAUCUUGUCCUUAGAAAUGAAUAGAGAAAUAGAUAUGGAAUGUUUAGGAUUUAACUUUAUGAUGAAAACCGCAAUCUCAUGACGCAUUUUUAUAUCUAAAUUUUAAUCAAAAAAAUAAUUGCACUUAAUCAAUUUAUUUUUUUCAGCUAAUCAAAACUAAAAAUUAGAUUAGUAUUUACUUAAAGUCCAUGUGAAUCGAUAUUUUACUAGAACCGUACACUUGCGUAAACCUAUCAAAGACCCUAUUGAUGUAUAUGGAAUCGUAGUUACCUAUCAAAGCUACAAAAAAAAUUAGAUCGGAAUUGGGGUCUUUCUGACCAUUCUUGAAGUCGAAGGGGGUUCGUUUACUGGAUGUAGCAUCGAAGGCUUGAGUGAAGAGUUCGAAGGGGUGCACGGGUAUUCAAGGAUCUGAAGAUUCAAGAAGCACCAAAUUUAAGGGUUACUUGGAGUUUGGGGGAGUGUUUUACAUAGGAGUUGAAGAAUUAGGUUUUAAUUUCAAGGAACUUUUGUAAACACAUUUGUAUUCAACUAUUAUAAAAAUAUCGGUGUUAUCUCUCUUUCCCUAUCCUCUUUACUUUUAGCUAUUGCAUGUGAUUAAUUGAAUAAUUUUUAGAAUAAUUGCUAGUGUUGAUCUAAGUUAUUUUUCAUUGAAAAUCAAUCUAAUUCAUUGAAUUAGGUUUCAUAUAAUUUGCUUAGAUCAAUUGAUUGAAAAAUCUAUUCAAUUCUUCAAUUACACAUGUAUUGUGUUUUUGAUUUGAUAACUUAGUAAUUUUGUUCAUGUAGGUUUUUGGUUUGAAAUUGUCUAUUGUUUUGUACAUUGUUCAAGGAAUAUUAAAGUUUGAUUGUAUAAUAAGAUUUGUAUCGUGAAUCUCUCAAUUCUAAGAUUAAGUCUCAUUGCACAUAUAUUUGACCUUUUGAUUCCUUGAUUGUCAUUGUUCGACCACGAAUCCAAUAGUCAAUUUUGUUGAGAGAGAGAGAGAGAGAGAGAGAUUGGAUGGACGGGUGAUAUUAGUGCAGAACACAGCAAAAGAGAAUCGAAAAAAGAGGAUCUUGAUCCUUUUCUAAAGGAGAAUCAACCAUCUAUAUAAUGACAAUUUUAAACCCAUCAAGUACAAAAAUAACGAGCAAGGUGAAAAUAUAAACGUAACAUUGAACUAUUUUAUUAAAUGAUAAUAAACUUCAAAGGGUAAAAUUGGUUUUUAGAUAAACAUAUAAGGGGUUACUAAAAAGGGUUACAAGUUUUUUUUUUUUUUUGAAAGAAGGGAUACAAAUUAUAAGCUUGCGAAGAAAAGACGGUUAUCAAACACAGCCUAUGCAGCUCAUGAAGCUGCCAUAAAAAUUUUAAUAGUGGGGGAUAUUUAAUGAAGAUUAGUAGUAGUGUUACGUUAUUCAUGGAGCUAUAGUUAUAAAUAAUUUUAAAGUGGGUAAUGUUUAUUGAAGAUAGGGAGAUCGAAGCGGAAAUGCUGAAAAAUGAUGAUGGAAAAAUAUAAAUCGAUAUUAUCUUUUAUUUUAGUCAGAAUUUAAAUUUGGUAUUUUUCAGUAUCCAUGUCGGCGAUUUUGACUAAUUUUGAUUAAGUAAACGUCUUAGUUGACUUCAAUGACUAAAGUAACUAAGAACAAAGAGUGAAUGAUUUAAUUCGGGUUUUAUCUAAGUCAUUGACCAAAAUUACAUCUUGUUACACUUUUAAGGAGAAAAAUGGUUGUUUUCCCAAUAAUGUUUUCCAAUAUUAAAUUAAUGUUGUUUUCUGCCUUAGGGAUGUUACCAAUUUGUUAUGUUGGAGUUACCUUUAGUGCUAAGAAACCUUUAGACCAAUAAAAAUAUUUUGAGUCCCUUUUAAAGUGGUAAAUACACUAAUAUAAAGUCAUUGUCAAUUGAUGUUAGGACUAUUUAUUAAGAAUGCAAUAUUUACUUGUUGUUCUUUGGUAGACACUUAGAGUUCAUUUUUGUGGACUGUAUGAACUUGGUUAUAUCAUAGUUAACGUCGUAUUAGACAAACGGAAAUGAAAGACUCAUCUCUCACUCUACUUAGGACUAGCCAAUUGUCAAACUUGGUUACAAUUUAUUUUGUUUGGAAAACUUAAUUUGAAUUUUCUACAAGUCAUGAAAAAUUCAAAUUUCUGUUUUCUGAUUAGAAGAUCAAUAAACGGUUCAAUAUCAUCACAAUCUCCAAAUCAUAACUUCAUUCAUUUGCAAAUCUAGAGCACAUAUAUCACGAUUUUCUAUCAUGAUUUGCAUUGAUAUAAGUAAGUAUAACACAUAUAUUUUACUCUUAACUUAGCCAUACAUUGCGGAUUUACUUAGUAGAUAGAGUAAUGUUUUUUUUUAAACAACAAAUUUUAUUCAUAAGCUAACCCAACACAAGAAGUGAAGAGGCUAGAGGAAACACACAAGACAACAGAUACAUAAAGACAACUAAACCACCCAAACAAUCCUUAAUACAAUAGAAUAACAUCAGAAAAACCAGCCACCUAAACUUCCUAGUACCAUGAAACAAUGUCAGGUCGCGUUGAUUUUUAGGCUGGAGGGCAAUGUUUGUUUCGGAAGUUCUCGACUUUCUUCAACAAAGGGUAGUGCUUUUUGCAGAAAUCGGGUAUAUGGGGUAUAUGUACUGGUUUAUCUUUUGGGAUUAAAUUUUUGAUUUUUGGGAUUAAUGCUUCAACUGCGGGACCAAAGCUAACAGCAUCAGCAAAAUGUUGUUGAGGAGCAAGCAUAAAAGCAGCAAGGAAUAACACUAAUAAGGAUAAGAAAAAUGAAUUAGCCAUUUUAAGAAGUGAUAUAAUUAUUAGUGUUGGUGCAUAAUACAUAUGGAGUAUACUGGUUUUAUACUAGUUAGAGACUCAAUGUGAGUUUAUGGUCAAUCUAAGUCAUGUACUAAAUGUCAAAAUUGUGUAUGAAUUGAAUUAUUCAACAAUGUUACAUGUUCCUUCCAUGUAUUUGCUACUAGUUGAUGAUCAGUCCCUACCUAUCCUUUAAUUUUCCACACAACAAGACCAUUCAGUAAUAUUGGCUCUAUCUCUCCACUUGUUUGCCCACCAUGGUUUAGCUGAAAAAACAGUGCAACUUGUUUCAAUAACAUUAAUAUAUAUAGAUAUUACUAUUUAUAUAUGCAUUGAACCCUGUAUGAUUUAUUUAUUUAUAAAAAUUCCAAAUAGGUUACUUUAUUUGUCAUUUAUGCUUGAAUAUGAAAAUACAAAACAGUGUUUUUUCUCAUUAAAAUUUUUACUAUAAAGAUUUUUAAUAACUUAGUGUUUACCAAUUGCACUUACUAAUUCUUAAUUAUAGAAUGAUGAUUAAAAAUUGUAUGUUUCAUAACUGUUUUUCAUCACAAGUUUAUAGUUCAUUUCUCAGACGUUAUUCCAAAUAACGUUUGAGAUUAUAGGUUAUCAUUUUAAUUUCAUGUUUACCUUUAUUAUUUUGUUUAAGAUUUAUUUUUAUCCUUUUUAAUAUAUACUAUUUAUAAAGAAAAUAUAGGGAUUUUGGGCUGACUUUUUUGUUAUUCCAAUUAUACCUUUAAAUAAAAAAAAAUCAAAUAAUGUGAUAUGGUUGGUGUUAAAUAAGAAUUUUUGUUAUAUUAUUGUUGUCAUUGAGAAUCAUAAAUAUUGUUUGUUGAGUUUGUUACAUUUGAAAGUCACAUAUCAUACUUUUAAUUUUUGUCCAUAUCAAAAAAUUUAUAUAAAAUAUCGUUUGUAAUUUACACGCAGAAUUUCAAUAAAUUAUCGUAAAUAAUUUAUACACAUUAACGUAAUAAAAAGAGCAGAAAGAUGAACAUGUGAAUGCUCGUCUUUAGUAAGUAAGAUUGUCUUAUAUACUUACAUUAUUUUAGGUCUAAAUUUCAGAAACCAUUAUUUGACAAUAUUUUUGACAAUUUUAUCUCACAUACUCACAUUAUAUUUUUACUUCUCUUUUUGUUGUUUUGGUUUUUAUUUUCAUACCUAAUUUUCCUUGUAAAUCUAUAGUUGUCUCAUAAAUUAUCGUUAAAAUUGUUGUUCAAAUAACACAACUCUUAUUUCUAAUACUCAAAAUUUGUUCAAAUUAAGUUUUUAAAGAACUUCUAAUAAAGUCAGAUUAAGGUUUUUUUGAACUUUUUAAAUACUUAAAUUGAAUUUUCUCCAAUAUACAUAUUAGAGAAAGAAAAAAAAUAAUGAUAGGAGGGAGAUGCAAAACUUAUGUUUUCUUUCUCUAGAAACAUAUUUUGAGUUUUCAAUAUCAUCAAAAUCUCAAAAUCAUAAACUUUAUUUAUUUGCAAAUCUAGAGCACAUAUAGCGCGAUUUUCUUUCAUAAUUUACAUUGAUAUAACACAUAUUAUGUUCUUACCUUGCCCAAACAUUCGGGAUUUAAUUGAUGAUGUAAAAGACGUUUUUAAAUGUAGAAUAAGAAAGAUGGAAAACCUCCAAGCCAAAUUAUACACAAGAUAUACAAAUUAUACACAAAAAUUUCAAAUUUCAAUUUUCUCGAGAGUAUUCUUAAAUGAUCAAUCAAUGAUUCAAUAUAAUCACAAUCUCAAAAUCAUAAACUUUAUUUAUUUUCAAAUCUAGAGCACAUAUAGCGGGAGGAGAUUGUCUCGUGUGAUUUUUCUCUCAUGUGUAAUCCAGACCCUCCAUUAAAUAUGUGAGAUAAUGUGUUUGUAAUAUAAAAUGACCGAACGCAAGAUAAAUUGUUUUUUUCUAAACAAUAAAUUUUAUUCAUAAGCAUUCCCGUGAGCUUAGCUCAGUUGGUACGGAUAUUGCAUUUUAUAUGCAGUGGCUGAGGUUCGAACCCCAGACACCCCACUUCUCCACAAUUAAAUUGUGUGAGCUCUAACCACUAGACUACUUGACCAAGAAAAAAGAAAUAUUCAUAAGCUAACCCAACACAACACAAGAAGUGAAGAGGCUAUAGAGGAAAGACACAGGGUAACAAUACAUAAAGACAGCUAAACCAAGGCUAAAAAGCCACAACACAUGUAAAUGGCUUAUCACAGCAGAAAACAAGGUAUAUCAAUAUCAUGUGUGACUACAAAACCGCCCAAACAACCCUUAAUACAAUAGAAUCACAGCAGAAAACACCCUUAGUAGAUAUUGAUAUGCCUUGCCGCGAUGAUGUUUUAGAAAUGUGCAGGUGGAGGGCAAUUACUGGGUCGGUUAUGCCCGUUUUUCCUCGAGCAGGGAUUUAAUGAGGGCUUUUGGGAUGGUUUAGGACGAGGGAAAGGUACUGGUUAGGAUGGAGUGAAAUGGGGUAAAUGCUUUAUGAUUCUUGGAGGGAGAUGUAUGGCAUCAACAGCAAAAUGUUGAGGAACAAACAUAAGAGCAGCAAGGAAUAACACUAAUAAGGAUAAGAAAAAGGAUUUAGCCAUUUUAAGAAGUGAUAUAAUUAUUAGUGUUGGUGCAUAAUACAUAGGGAGUUAAACUGGUUUUAUACUAGUUAGAGACUCAAUGUGAGUCUAUCGUCAAUCAAAGUUAAAAUUGUGCACGAAUUGAAUUAUUCAACAAUGUUACAAGUUCCAUGUAUUUGAUACUAGCUGAUGAUCAUUUAGUAUUAUUGGCUCUAUCUCUCCACUU
Molecule: long non-coding RNA, 46289 nt
Filed under: Medicago truncatula (barrel medic)
Lineage: Eukaryota; Viridiplantae; Streptophyta; Magnoliopsida; Fabales; Fabaceae
Description: long non-coding RNA (MTRU_LNC000181)
Source: RNAcentral